UGAAUUCCAACCUACCUCAUCAUAUUUGCAGUGAAAUGCCAAUCAAAAAGUAUACUCUAUCACAUUCCUACAUAAAUAGCAUCCAUCCCCAAAAACAACACCUUUCAGGUUCAUCCAAAAACAUAAUUUCAGCUAAACAAAGCACCAACACUCACAUCAGUCACAUGCUUUAGGCCUUACAGAAGAAAAAAAAAAAGCACAAACACAUCACAGAGCAAAAUUUUGAUAUAAAAAACAUUGAAACACAAUUCUAUCACUUUGGUAGAGAACUGCAAAUUGGUUCUUAUGUACUAGUUCAUGGUUCUUUUGUGAAUUUGGUUCCCUAUAAUGAACGUACCAGAUUUUCAAGUAUAGUUUAAGUUAAAGAAAGAACAGAGAAAAUAAGAGCACUCACCUACAUGAAUCAGUUACAACAAAACAAGAAAUAAUUUUACCAUAAGAUAUUUCUCCUAUUGUGAAGCAAAUUCAUUCAAACCUACAAUAAUUAACACUAGAAACGGCUAUAGACGGAGCUAUAUAAACCCAAUUGAGUAUACCACUAGCGUAUCGGUAUUUGACAGGAUACCCCUAGCGUACCGAUAACGUAUCAUGUACCAUAAAGAAGUGCAUAUCGGGUGACUAUGAUAAAAAACAAAUUGAGAAAGUAAUAGGUAUUAACACUUGUGAAAUCUGUUAUGAAUAGUAAAGCAGAAUUAAAAAAGUGAAAAAUUUGAAACAAAUGUUCCUAUUUGGAUUGAGCUGUUCCUUUGUGUUCAUUUUUUAGCCUUUGCAAAUCUGAGACAACGGUAUUUUUCACCACUUACUGUAAUUUCAAGUGCCCCAUCUUGAUUAUCUUGAUUUGAUGCAGUUCCCAUUAAAACACUUUUCUCUUUCUCAAGAUUCUCUCUCUCCAUUUUCAACCUUGCUUCUUGUCGUGCAAUCUCAGCCUAUAACAUCAAAAAACAAUUCGGAGAGUCUUACAUCAUUAGAUCAACGUCUUUUCGGCAUCGACUAGAAGAAAAUAAAAUAAAAUAAAAAAGAAAUAUAGAGAAAUGGGUAAUAAACCUGACGGCGAGAAAGUUCAGCUUUCCAAGCAGAUUCACGUUCAGCAACUUCACGUUCACGUUCUUCAAUAUAACUUUGCAUUUCUCUUUCCUUCAUUAUUCUAUCUUGAAUAUCAGCAUCUAAUGCUUCCUUCAACUCUUCAACAAAUUUGUCAACAACACCUUUUAUUCUUAGAGACAUGAUUCAUUAAUUCUUUCUUUCUUUCUCUGUUUCUUCACUUCAUCACCAUUUAAUAAUAAUCAACUUUAUAAACAACAAUUAUUUUGGGUUUUCCAUUCGGCCCAUUUUAUGUGUCUCUUUUUCUUCCUUUUAUUUUAGCCCACACAUUAUUAUGCUUACAUUAUAUCAUUUUUUAUAUUAUGUAUAUUAUGAUUCAUAUUUUUUAUUUUAAUUUUAUAAUAUUCCGUGUAGAGAUAUAUAGUACAUUUCUAGAAAUACGCUUAUUCAAUUAUAUACAUGUACAUGUGAAAGUUUAUUUAUAACUCUUAUUAAAUACUAAAUAUUCAUCAACAAAACAUUAGUCUAGUAAUGUAAGACUCUGCUAGGUCAUUUGAAAGACAGUCACACAUAUAGAAAGCGAUUAAUUUCUUACACAUAAGGUGAUAUAUCCUUCAUAAUACCAAAAAAUAGUAAAUCUUCCUAUAGAUUAGCAAGAUUAGAUAGUGUAUGUUAAACUUUGAAAUAGAACAAACUAAAACUUAAAGUUUUGUUUAUGAUAGACUAAUAGACUAAUCUUAGUUUGGAACACAUUCCAUAUAUCCUGUAAGACUUGGUCUAGUUUAAGUUUAUUCCUAAUUUAAUAUUAACUUUAUGCAUAGACUAAUUUUACUAAUAAUUAAAAUUUAAAAAAUAAUUAAGAAUAAAAAUGCGUCAUAACACCAUAUUUAAAAAACAUAAAAAUGCUUCUAUAUCUAUAUCAAUACCUAUUUCUAUAUUUAGAUCUAUGUUUAUAUUUGUAUAUGUGUGUGAAUAUGUAUAUGUAUCUACAUCUGUAUUUGUAUUUGUAUCUGUAUCUAUAUCUACAUCUACAUUGAUAUUGACACCUACACCUAUAUCUAUGAUCUAUCUAUAUCUCUAUUUGCAUUUGUGCCUCGCCCAACACCCCUCGAUGCACACACAACGCCCAGUCUUGUUUUCCCAUGCUUCGAUCAAGUUAGUUCAUGCCUCACAUUAUGCAAUUUAUGAAUUUGACACCCACUUGGCCUUGCUUUGGCCACCAUCUUUAAUAAUUUCUACGAGUUGUCCUAGGACAUUUUGUGCCCUUUUGGUCUUUAUCCUUGUCAUAGGGCCACCAAUUCGUUCUAGGCCUUCAUGGUCCAACUUUAGCUCACUUGGGUUUGCACCAUUCCCUCCUUUUCGGAGUGAAUUUAUCCUCGGAAGUCUUCACCACCUGCAUCAAAGAAAGACAAAUCAACAACAUUGAAAGUAGCACUUAUAUUACCAAACUCACUUGGGAGGUCUAACUUGUAGGCAUUAUCAUUGAUCCUUUCCACCACAUGAAAUAGACCAUCUCCCCUUGGUUGAAGUUUAGAUUUCCUUUGGUUAGAAAACAUCUCCUUCCUUAUAUAAACCUAAACCCAAUGCCCGGGUUGAAAGACCACAUGCUUUCUUCCCUUGUUAGCUUGCUUAGCAUAACUCUCAUUCUUUUUUCUCAAUUUGAACCUUGACUUAUUCAUGCAACUUUUUAACAUACUUAGCCUUGGCCUUCCAUUCCUAUGCUUUAAAAGAGAAUGGUUAGGAAAUGGUAACAAAUGAAGAUGUGUUAGUUGGUAGAACCUAUAAACAAUUUCAAAAUGUGAAAACUAAGUAGUGUCAUUGAUUGCUCUAUUGUAAGCAAACUCAACAUAGGGUAAACACUCCUCUCAUGACUUAAUAUUGAUCUUUAUCACGACUAUCAUUGGAAAUUUGGGCAAAGCCCAUGGGGCACGCCCGCCUGCCCACAUCUAUCAAGCAGGCAAGACAUGAAAAAUAUGCACAUCCGCCAUAAAAUACCUGCCCAACAUGCCCUAUUCGGAUACGGGCAUAACGGGUGGCCCAUAGACAUUAUUAUAAAAAGUAUUGAACAUCAAAUAUGUAAAUAUAUAUGUAUUUUGCUAAUAUGAGAAAGUGUGUUCCAUUUUUUAUAUAUGUAUUUGUAUAUAAAAUGUGAGAAAGUAAUAUUGUUUUCUUAUUAUAUAUUGCAUUUAUAUUUUGUAUAUUAUAUACGCAUAUAUACUAUUCCUUUUGUAUUUUGAAUGCAAAUUAUGUACUAUAGUCUAUAAACAUUUUAUAUUAUAUAUACAGUUGUAUUUUAUGCAUUGUUCCAUUUGUAUGAUUAUGAUAAAUAAAUAUAUUUGUAUAUUUGUAUGCAAAUUAUGUAUUAUUUAUUUCGUAUGACUAGUCUAUAUACAUUUAUUUAUAUAUACACAUUUAUUUAUAUAUAUAUUAUUUAGGUUGGCCCAUAAGCUCGCACUGCCCAUGUUUAGGGUAGACAUGACAUUAUAUUUCACGCCCUAUUUAAAAAGGGCAAGCCCAUGCCCUUCCUAAUUUAAGUCAGCAUAGAAGGGCACGAGAAGGGCAGUCCUAAUUGCCAAUACUAUAUGCGACAAACAAGUUGAGCUCACACUUUUCCAAGAAUAACGUGAAUGAGAUGGUAAAAGUAUCUGCACACCUGAAGACCUUCAAGAAUAGUUACAAUUGAUACUGAUAGUAAUAGAUAAUAGGCGAGAACUUGUAUCAUAAUACUCGUUUACAGUUGCUCAUAAAUUCAUAAAUAUUUUUUUAAUUAUAUAUUUAUAUAUUGCAUAUUUUUUAUUUCUUUCAUAAUAUAUAAUCCAUUUUAUCGAUAAUUUUUAUAAAUGUUAGAUUAUUUUCAAAUCAUAUAUAAACUAUUUUAUCAAUCAUUUCAUAAUGAAUUAUAGUGAUUAAACUACAAUAGCAAACUUAUUAUAUACGCAUAUGAUUAUUUAUGAUGUAAUAAUUAUUUUUAUAUGUAUUUAUUAUUAUAAAAUAUUAAACUUGAAAGUUCAUUUAUUAUCAUUAGCGUUGACAAUUUAAGUUACAACCAUGAGGACUAUUCGUCUGUAUUUAUUGGGUAGGCAAAACAUAAAAAUAUAUACAUUAGUCCAAAAUCUCUGAUUUGCCUGUGGGCAUUUUAAUAGGUAGACUGGGUCAUGUGCGAACAUCAUAAUCUUAAUUAUUAAUUGUUACAUUUUGAUUUUUCAUUAAACUUGAAGGAUAAGUAGUAUUAAAUAUUUUGAACUAGUAAAUUGGUAUGUAUAACUAUAAAAUAUGAUAUAAUAUUAUUUUUUAUUUUUGUUUAAUUUUACUUUAUGUACAUUUUAUUAUUAUUUUGUUUACUUUUUUAAUUGUUAGUGGGCGAUCCGUAAAUCCGCCUUGUCCAUAUUAAGGACAAACAAAGCAUGACAUUUCAUGUCACAAACGAAUAUGCCGAUACUUGUCUUAUUUAGACAUAUAUUAUAUGGGCAUAAGUAGAGCAGUCCAAAUUGCUAAUGAUAGCAUACCAACAUAAACAAGGGUGUAAGAAGAGAGACGAGGAAUCAAAAGAUAAAUUAUUAAACCCAAGAGACUUUAAAUAAACAUCUAAUAGAUAUUCUAUAUAUAUUAUAAGAGUGUUUAUCUCUUUCAGAAUACAUAAGCUAUUUUAUAGAUAUUUUACAUAUAUUAUAAAUUUUAUUAUUUUAAUAUCAUAUAUAAUUUAUUUUAUUAAUUAUUUCGUAAUGAAUUUUAGUGAAUAAACUAUAGUAACAAACUUAUCAUAUACAUAUGUGAUUAUUUAUGAUAUAAUUAUUAUUUAUAUAUAUAAUUAUUAUUACAAAAUAUUAAACUUGAAUUCGCUAUCAUACAUACCAACAGGGGUGUGACUGUGUGAGAAACGAAACAAGUGAACAUUUUCUGAAAUAUGUAAUUGAAAAAACUCCCCAAACAUAUUUUCAUUUUUACCUUACAUUGAUAAUGGAAAUAGGAAAUGAUUAAACUAAAGAGACUGGAAUAUUGUAUCAAAAUAAACAUGUUAUUGCACAAUUUAUUCAUUGAUAAGAAUUUAUUCAUCAUGUUAUGGGCAUGCCAAACAUGAACAUUGAUCCUUCAUGGAUUUGCAAUAUAACUAAUAAUUAUGAAUUAUAUAAGGCAUGUCAUUAUGGAGUGGAUUAGAACCAGUUGGAACUUUUCUCAGCUUUCUAACAACACGAGAUGAAAUAGUAGAAGAAAUAGUAGUAGAAAUAGUAGAAGAAAAAGGAUUCACUUUUUCAUUUAGAACCUUAGCCAUUGCAAUAUUUGGAAAUAGUGCCAUGAGAAACCCUGCUAACAAUAAAAUUGUUGAAACCAUUGAACUUAUCAAUGCCAUCUUUGUCUAACAAAAUUAUACAAAGGGUCCACGAUCACCACUUUCCUUUUGCUAUUGCUUUAGGAUAAUAUUAUAGAAAAAACUUACUUACUACCAUUUUAUAAUGGGAGUUUUGAAACACAGAAAAAAUGAAAUGAAUAUACUGGUGUAUAAAUUUUAUAAACUGUCACUAUAUCCUCUACCAUUUAUAUUUAAUUAUUAUUAUCUCUUCAAAAAAGUAAUCUAAAUGAAUGUUGGAUAAUAUAACGACUGUAUAUAAAUCUUUACAUUGACAAUAUACAUAUAUUACACUCUUUAAAAUAUUCAUUUAUUAUUUACCUUUGUGUGUAUAUAUUUAUUAAUGACAUAAUUUUUAAGAAAAAUCAUUUCUACUAUUGGAGAAAUUUCUUGUCACCUUUAAGAGCAAAAGAAAAUAUCACUCCUACUUACUACCAUAUUUACCACUAAUUUUACAGUAUUCUUUAAUAUGCAUUUAUUAUUUACUCGUUUUGUGUGUAAUUAUUUAUUGAUGACAUAAUUUUUAAGAAUAAAGAUCAUUUUUACUAUAGAUGAGUUCUUGUUUUUUUUUUAAGAGUAAAAGUGUAAUUUAUUUUCAUUUACUACCAUUUUAUGAGAGUACAUCUUCUGUCCCAUAAUUUGUACUACUGAAUGUGCCAUCAGUUGUGAUUGGUCAAAAAAUACUUAAUAAUUAAACUUUUAAUUUAAAUGUAAUUUUUCAAAUAAUAACAACUGAUGGCACAUGUAAUGCAAUAUUAGAGAGAAUUUUUUUUUGUUUUUAGUUUUAAGAGUAAAUAUGUAUUCUUAUUUCCACUUACUACCAUUUUAUUUGAGUUGUUUUGUAAUAUUUUUAAUGAACAUUUAAUAUUUACUCUUUUUGUGUAUAAAUACUUAUUGAUGACAUUUAUUAUCUAGUAAAAUGAGUUAUUAUUUUUUAUUUUAAGGGUAAAAGUAUAAUUUCGUUUACACUUAUUAUCAUUUUAUACCAGUACUUUAACCAUCAUCAAUGACAGAAGUUAUAUCUCAGCUUAACCAUCAUAGACAGAAGCAAACCAACCAUUGAUAUUGAAAGAGAGAAUGGAUCAGAAUCUUGAUCCUAAUGAGAUGUUUCUAUGAUGAAUAAGAAAGAGGGAUAAAUGAUGAAGAAUAAGAAAAUGAUGUAAUCUUGUAUAGGAUAAAUUGGUCAUAAUACUCCAUUCUUGAAGAGCUUGAGAAUAUCAAGAAGCUAGCUUUUGUACUUGAAAAGAAUUCUUGACCAAAAGCAAACUCCUUUGAUCUAAAUUUGAAGGUCGAUGAAGAAGGUGAUAAUGAAGAAUUUAGUGCCAUAUGUUGAAAAAAAUAUUGGAUGCUGAAGAACAGCGAUAGAGCAAUCAAAGAAAUCAAGAUAGUCUUGCCACAUGCAACAUUGUCACAUAUUGGAAGCUAAAUAACACUAAUGAAGGCCAUUGAGAUGAAAAAGAAAGCAUCACCAUGUUCUUGAUUGUUGAAGUUUUCCAUAAAAUCCUUCAUGGAAUCAUAAGCGGAAGCUAUCAAAAGAUAAUUAUGUCCUGAUACCAUGUUAAAAUGUGGUAAAAGCUAUCAAAAGAAAGCUUAAAGAAAGAAGAAUGAGAAACAAAAAUUGAUAAUAUUCUCAUUGAAUAAAUUGAAUUGAUUGAAUAAGAAGUGAGCCAAUAUGACUUAUUUAUACAAGAGAAAAAAAUAAAAGAAAGCUUGUAAAACAAGUAACUAACAUAAACCUAACUUACUAAUUCCUAACUUUUUAACCAACUAUCAUCUUUCAAAAUAACCUAUAAUAUAUCUUUAAUAAAUUAGGGCAGUUUUUAUCAUUUUAAGAAUAAAUAUGUUCCUAAAAAGUAUGUCAUAAAUAAAUAAUUAUACACAACAAGAGUUAAUAAUAACUGAAUAUUACAAAACAACUCGAAUAAAAUGGUAGUAAGUGAAAAUGAGAUUACGCUUUUAAUUUUAAAGCAAAAACGAGAAUUUCAUGACAUUUGUUGUUUAAAAUUUAUGUCAUCAGUAAAUAAUUAUACACAAAAGGAAUAAAUAAUAUAUGUUCUUUAAAAUAUAUUAUAAUACUACUAGUAUAAAACGGUAGUAAGUGGAAAUGAGAUUACAAUCGUACUCUUGAAAGCAAAAAACAUGAACUCUUAUCCAAUGGUGAAAGUGAUAUUUGCUCUUAAAAAUAAUGUAUUAAAAAAUAAUUAUACAAUGGUAAUAACUGAUAAAUAAUUAUACAAUGUAAUAACUUACCAAUAAUUAUACAAUGGUAAUAACACCAAUACAUAAAUAAUUAUACACUAGAAGAGGAAAUAAUAAAUGGCCAUUAAAUAAUAUUGUAAAAGUACUGGUAUAAAAUGGUAAUAAUUGAUAAUGAAAUUAUACUUUUACUCUUAAAUUAAAAAGCAAUAACUCCCUUUACUAUAGUGAAUCUGAUAUUUGUUCUUAUAAAUUAUAUCAUCAAUAAAUAAUUAUACACAAAAAUAGUAAGUAAUAAAUGUCUAUUAAAGAAUAUUACAAAAUAACUCUAGUAAGUGAAAAUGAGAUUACAAUUAUACUCUUAAAAUAAAAAAUAAGAUCUCCACCUCAUGUAGUUGAAAUGAUAUUUGCCCUUUAAAAUUUUUGUCAUCUAUAAAUAAUUAUAUUAGUAAGAUUAUGUCUUCAAUAAAUAAUUAUACACAAAACAAUUAAUAAAAGAAAAUACCAGAAUAUUGCAAAACUACUUUUAUGAAAUGAUAAUAAAUGAAAAUAAGAUUACAUUUUUACUCUGGAAAGCAAAAAUAACAACUCCCAUCUCUAGUAGUGGAAAUGAUGUAUGUUCUUAAAAAUUAUUUCAUCAAUAAAUAUAAAGGUAAAUAACUAAUGGUCAUUAAAGAAUAUUGGAAAACCAUCAAUAUAAAAUGAUAGUAAGUAGGUUUUUUUCUUGAUAAUUUCAUAAACAAAAGCUAUAGGGUGAUCACUAAGUGGACCCAUAGUAUUUUUGUUAGAAACAGAAAAAUAAAAAAGAAUGGAAUGUGUGCUUGUUUUGUGUAUUGUUGUGAAUGGAGAUAUGCAUCAAGAAAGUUAUGACAAAUUCUACUAACCUCAUUACAAAGUCUCAAAAUCCCAAAGAAAACAUUUGUUUCACUCAACUCUUUAAGUGUAAAGCCCUUGCAAGUGCUCUCUUGCUAUAUUCCAUAACCACAUCUUCUUUAAUUAGUCACCAUUUCAGAAAGAGAAAGAGAAGCCAAUGGUGGUAUAUUCCAUAACCACAUCUUCUUUUAUUGCAUAAUAAUUGCAAAGUAAAAUCAAAUAGAAACCAAACAGAGUAGACAAUUAAAAAAGAAAAGUGUAAUAACUUGGCUUUGGUAUAAUAUCACAGUCCUUAUAUUUAUGAAAUUAUUCUCAUUCCAAAACUUUUGAUGUUUAAGUAUAUACAUUUAUAUUUUCUUAUUAUGUAUAUACAUUUAUAUUUUGCCAUAUUAUAUAUAUAUAUAUAUAUAUGUAUUAUUCCUUAACCAACAAGGCGUUGGUCUAGUGGUAUAAGACUUCAUUGGAUCUCCAAGAUCGAUGGUUCUAUUCUUGGGAGAAAUAAUUGUUAGAAGAAACAACUACGAAACCCUAAAAUGAAUUAGUUUCUUAUUCAAAAAAAGUAAGGGGACCAUUAGCAGUAUCAAAAAUAUAUAUGUACUAUUUCUUUUGUAUUUUAUAUGUAAAUAUGUACUAUGCAUAUUUUGUAUUCUAUAUUAUAUUUAUAUUUUAUAUGUAUUGUUCCAUUUGUAUGAUUGUUUAUUAUGAUAAUAAACAUAUUUGUAUGUAAAAUAUAUAUUAUUUAUUUUGUAUUAAGUGUAUAUAAAUUUGUAAAUAAUUUUUAAAAUUUGUUUAGAGCAGCACACAAGCCGGUCUUGCUCAUGUCUAGGGUGCGCAUCACGAGUUUGUUUGGCUAAAAAAAAUUAAAAGUUAAUACAUUUUGAAUUGAAUUUAUUCUACUUCAAUAGUUUUUAUUUGAUAUAAAUCAAGAGUAUUCCCACCUUAUAGAUAAGAAACUAAUAUCUUUCAUAGUGCAUAACUUCCCUCAAUAAGUUUCAUUCAUAUAAAUCAAACUACCCUUUAGCCUAAUUUAAUAUCUAGGGAUCCACACUAUCUCACCAACACCUGAUUGAUAUUCUAUUUGAGUGACAUAUGACAAUCAAUUUUAUCUCUUUAACAAUAUAGUAACGAGGCAUAGAAAUUUUAAGUUCAUUAAUCAUAAGAAGUGGCAUAUGAGUAGAGUGGCUAUGGGUUCAGAAUAAAUCCAAAAUUCAGGAUUUAUAUAUUAUAUACACUCAUAGAUGUUUAAGGGUUACAUUUCAUAUUUUUUGUGAAAAAAAUGUUACAUAAAACAUAAUAGACUAUAGCUAUUGCCUAAAAUAUACAUAUGAGAUAUCAAAUGCAUUCAACACCAAAGCCUUAAAACAGCAAGCACCUCAAAUUCUAUAUGAAAGAAUACCAUGUGCCUCAAAAGGCAAAAAUUGAUUUUGGACAUUUUCAUACAAGAAUAUUUUGUACUAAUGUACAUAAACAACCCUAAUGAAGAAAAAUUAAUUUGUAAAGCAAAGAUGUGAAGACACUAAAAAUACCUCAAAUACGACCAAAAUGUGGUCCCAAUUGCUUGAACCAUUUCAACCUUAGUUGAAAAAAUGAAACAUGAAAACUGCACCAAUGCUUAUCAAGUACAAAAAAACAAAGAUAUUCCCUGUAAUUACCAUUAUGAGCACUGGCCAGUUGGCUUCAUAAAUCACGUGGAAAAUUACUGAUUUGUCCUUCUUCUAGUGUAUCCUUGCCAUUUAUCUUGUACGCUAUCCUUAUGCGCAUGACAAGAGAUUUCUGAAAAAAGUAUUAGUUUCUUAGCCAUAAAGUGUACUUAAAAAAAGGACGGUCAAAUGCAUGAUGCUCCCACUUAGUGGGGUAUAGGGAGAGAAGAUGCACAUACUUACUCCUGCAAGUGGUGAAGUUGUUUCCAAGAUUUGAACCCGUAACCUCAUAAUCACUAAGUAACAACCUCACCGUCACUCUCAAGGCACUUACAAACAUAAAUCAUAAAUGAGGCACAUGGUAGAAGACAAAUAUUUAGAGUAAAAGUUAACUAACAAAGAAAACCAACCUUCCCAUAUUGGCUAUUAGUAACUCUCAUACUUUGUGUGAUGGACCCAUUUCCACUAGUAGGGAGAGUGUUGCUGCUAGCUGGAUCUAACUGCAACUGAAGAAACUGAAUCAAAAUAACAAAAAAAGUAAGAAUUAGAUGAUGAAAAAAGGUAAUAAUGCAGUUAAAUUUUGUUGUUGAAAUUCCGAUAGCAACAUGCAAACAGUUAUACUUCUCAUGAACUCAAAAUGUAAAUGACCAAAAGUUGGGACAACUGAAUAGACAAAUAUAAUGAAAAUCAUUCAGUUUUAACAUUUGCUAACAAAUGCUGUUGCUAGAUCUCUUAAGAAAAGUAAUAGCCUAAAGUUAUGGUCUCUUAAUACAUUUCAAAAUUCAAACAAAGGAAUGAGAAGAUAUUUUUCAACAGCGAUUAAAAAGCAUGGAACCUCAACUUAACACAAUUUAAUCAAGAUCAAAAUACUACUGAAAUCAACAGAGUUAAAUUAUAUGUUAAAGACUCCAAUUAAGAUGAUCAUAGAAGUAAAAUAGAAAACUUAACAGCAUACUCACUAUCAUACCUUUGGAACUGCUGCCUGAAAAACAAAAUCUGUAUAUACAUUAGAGGACAAAUUCGUAAAGGUAGCCUGGAUAUUUGUCGUUUGUGAGUUUCCUGUCUGUUUUGAGAAAUCGAACAUCAACCUCAAGAAGCUGCUCUCGAAUGCAGUUAUAGAUGGAUAAACAGGUCCAUUGUUUUCUAUACAAGGCAGUAGAAGGAUGGGGAAUUAGUACUUAGAUUAAACUCCAAUGAAUUUUGUUUCCCAAUUGUUAAACAUAAUUUACAACCUGCUGGUGGACUGGUGGGAAGAGGAUCCAAUGAAUCCAUCAUAGGAGCAGCUCCACCAUUUGAAGUUCCUCUUGAAGAGAGUGAAAGCGAUGAGAGAUCAUCUAAUGGUGAAUCUGAAGGUUUUUUAGUUGUAUCGGGGGAUAAUACGUCUAUCAUAGAUGAGUUGUUUUGUACAGAAGGCGAUUGAGUAGGUGACGAAGGUGAUCCAAUGGACAAAAGAUCCAAAAGAGCAUCUGUGCCACUUUUUGAGGUUUGACUAGCACCUAAAAUGCAAAGUAAAUGUCAGAUGUAAUAUAAAUAUGUAAAUGGAAAUAUUCACCAUCAUGUGCUGUAUGUUGCUAUGGGAAUGCAAGGUCCAUUGUAUAUUCUAAUUUGCACUUCAUAAAUUACUUCUAACUUCAAUGCAACUAAACCAAUGAAACAAAGUACUCUUACAGAACAAUCCUAAAUUCUUUCUAUAACCGUUAAUAUCAUUUGCAUCAUAAAAACCGAUUUAGGCAUACAAUGAUUCAAAACAUAUAUACACCUUCAUGAAUAGAGCUAAUUACUUUUGCAUUUAUAGAAUAAAAAGGAUGACCCAAUGCACGAGUAAGAUCUAAAGAGAGUAGAUGUACGCGUUAUUUCCAGUUUUGUAUUUAUAGAAUAAGUAAACAUAUGGACAUUAUUAGAUAAAAAAUAACUUGUUAUUCAGCAUUAUGAUAUUUAUGUGAUACACCACAAACACUAACCAGACUGUUGUGAAGGCUUCGACAAAUCAACUCCGAGAAGGUCCUGAAUAAGAUCACCACCAGAAGAGCUUGGUGCAGGAGCUUCAUCUGAACUUAGAUCGAGCAGAUCUAGAAGAGGAGCCGAAGGUUUGGCUAUUCCAUUUGGAAGACCAACUGAAGGCCCUGAUUGAAUUGAAGCUGCAUCUGGAAGAGACCCAGCCCUCCUGCCAACGAAAGUUGCCUCAUUCAAAACUGGCAUCCUGUCUACAAGUGUCGACCUGCAUGAUGACAAACAUUUUCUCAUCGCCAUUCAUCUAAUCAGAAUGUUGUAGAAAUUCAAGCUAUUGAAAUAACAUAAUAGGCAAAUUGGUUAAGCUUACCUAAUACUUUGAUGCUUUGCAAUAAUCGAAUUGAAUUCUAUAGAUCUUUGCUGCAAUUCUAGUACAAGGUUCCCUUUGUACUGAGUUAUUGUUUCCCUGAUCCUCCUAUAUAAAAAAUCAAAAUAGAAUAAAAUUUUGUGACAAAUAUACAAAUACAAGAUGAUACAAGCUCAAUAAUAGGUAAAAAUGUAUUUGGUGCAUGAAAGGGACAAAGAGACAUAGAUAAAGAAAGAUCAAUGAUUUGUUAUUCAGAUUAAAUAGAGGAUUGUUCAUAUAUAAAAACAUUCAUGUUUCUUCAUCCAACAGCUUAAGCUUUUGGAAUAGUUGGUUCUCGACUUGGUACCAGAGCCCCUAUGACCAAGUAGUCAGGAGUUCGAUCAUUGCCAUCUCAGUUCUUCUAAACAAAUAAAAGAAGUUAAAUUCAGCAUAAGGUAUGGUAGAGCUGUGCAUAGUCUCUACUACAAGCCAAAAGGGUUAUUGCAUGAUUAUUGUGUGAGGGGGAGUGUUAAAACCAUUCAUUUGGUUUCACCCAACAACUUAAGCGUUUGGGAAAGUUGGUUCUUGACUAGGAUUAAGCAGGUUACAUGAGAUUUAAACUAUCCCCAGCCAGCUCUGUGGGGCUUAUACAAUAUAUUACAUUCCUCUAAAACCAAGGAAGGAAAGAAGAAAUAAAUCCAUUUUAAGGUAUGAUAAUGUCAUGGACAUAUACAAACAAUUCCAGAUCAUACUCUGAUAAAGAAGGGAAAUGUGAGGAUAGCUUCAAAAGGGCAACCAAAGCCAUUGCUUUUGUGGUAAGAUCCGAUGCAUGGCGUUUGAUAGCAAUCUCAACAACAUCCAAAGCAUCUAACUCAGUCACCUGCUCGGAUGAAAUAAAUAAAGAAUAAAAAACUAUUCAAAAACUAUAUGCAAAUGAUAAAGACUGAAAUGAAAGACGAGAUUGGUAUAUUCAUUUCAAUAGUGCAUGAGUAUAUGGGAAAGAACCAGGUAAUUCAUUUCAACAAUGCGCAAGCAGUGCCAUGACUUAGGGUUUUAUUUCUUUCUUGACAUCAUAACCCAUCAUCUAAAUAGAAGCUAUGAAAACAACAACCAAGCCUAAAUCACACUAGGUGGGAUUGGCAUAAUUGUUUAUAAAUAGAAGCUACCCAAAUCAAAAUAAAGAAUCCUCAACGGAAAUGGUACCACAAACAAUUUUUCUUAAUUGUUUUUGAUGAAAUUGUUAAAUUAUUGCUUGUGUUGUGGUCAACUGAUUUUACCAUUUUCAUGGAACUUUAGAAACAGUAGAAGAUUAUGCAUAAAAUAUCAAGAAACCAUUCACUCACUGUUAUCGGAUCUUCUAUGUCAAGGACUCCAACAUUAUUGAUUAACAGGUCACCAUAUUCUCCAAUGCACCACAAUGCAACACAAACAAGGGUUUCCUGAUGAAAAAUAUUCAUCAAUAAUAUUCAUCAAUGCUAUUAUGGAUAAAUUUUGUGAAAGCAGAAGAGGCACCUGUUCAGCUGACGUUCGAAAUGCCUUGUAUAAUGCUCUUACUGUAUAUCCAUGAAGCUCAGAAGCAUUGCUUAUCACAACGAUUAAGGCAUACCAUACUUCAUCUUUUACGAAAUUUCCAGCCUACUAACAUAACAUAAAUAUGAAUACUAGCACUUAAUUUAUAAUCAAUUAAAGGGCUCACUCAAUAUGCAGAUCAGCACCAAGACAGUAAUCACAAUACACCAAAUUUAUCCAGUGACCAGUGAUGAUUUGUUGCAGAUAAUAGAAGGAGCAUGGUUCUUGUCAAAGUCAAACAUAAAGUGAUAAAUAGACACAAAUAUGUAGUAACUUUGUACAUUGACACAUCGGAAAGGAAAUCAUGAAAUGAUAAUAAAUAGUUAUACACAUGUAGGAAAAACAAAAUAAGCUGUCAUAGCAAUCAUUUUUCCUCGGAUGUAAAUGUAGAGAUGAGAACAACUGAACCAGUAUGCAUCAGGAUUUGUGAUUUCCCUAGGAGAUUCUAAUUGGCAAAGAAAGCUUUUUUGGAAGAUAUAUACCUCAGACAGAACCUUAAGCAUCUGAUCAAUGUACCAGAUCUUCUCUGGGGAAAACCUGAAGCACAAAGUAAGUAAAUACUAAUCAACCAAACACAUUCUAUAGAUUCAAUUAAAAAUAAAUCAAUAAAAUAACUCUCUAAUUACUAGUCUAAACUAAGAAGGGAACAGGCAUAAGGCCCAUGUAAAAUGGGUAAAAUGGCUUCAAUUUUUUUUUUACCAAAGAAAAGAAAGAAGAUGAAGAACAGCAGCAAUAUCUAGCAUCUACAAUCUAAAAUUUACUGCAAACAUGAAAAACAGUUUAGGAAGUUUCUUAAAGAAAUAAUCAUUUAUGAUAAUAGUAUAUGUUCCUGUGACAAAUCAAACCAUCUUAUAUUAAUAAUAUUGAAUAGUGAAAAAAGAAAGAAAUGAAAAUAAAUUGCAUACCAAAAUUUUAUAUAAGCAGGCAAUUAUUGCUUACUACCCCCACCCCAGAAAACAAGAAAAACAAUACAAUUGAUAAAAAUAAGCCAUAUGCACUCAAAAAGGAAUGCCAUUGAGAACCUCUAUGACUCACUUUGAAACUAUUGAGCAAAUUUUGGCUGUAAGGUCCUCCUUAAAAUCUUGAUCACUGACUUGCAGAUAAUCUACUAGCUCUUUCGUUAAGGGCUUCACAUUAGUUUCAUUCACCAGAACAUAAACAAGUUCAAGGGCUCUUUUCCGAAUUGAAGCGUCAGGGUCCUGAACCAAAAAAGUCAAGUCACUAACUUCAAGUUAUAAUGUAAAACUAAACACAUCUUUGUCCUUACUCCUUUGCUAAAGAAUAGUAGGAUUAUUACUUAUUAUGUUAUUUGUCUUAAGUUAAUGGACUUGGGCUGGUACUAGUGGUGUUUGUACCACUCAGCUUUCUCCAGCAUUGCCGUUUAAGUCAGUUUAGGUGAGUUUUCAGUAUGUUUGGGGUCAUUUCCUUUGAGUCCAGUGCCAUUUUUGCACUCCUUCAAUUUUAUUGAGACCUGAAAGUGUUAUUUAGUGUUUUCUAGACUCUUUGGUUGCUGAUGUGCUGAGUGGGUCUUGGUUUCUGAUUUCGGAAGUUUUGAAGUAUAACAUUCUAAGAAUUGUUCAAGAUGGCAGAAUUCUAUGAUGUCUAGUUGCAGGAUUUAUUUCAUGCCCAUAGAUUCAGAAGUUGCAGAUCCUGUAUAUUGUAUUGCACUUCUAUGUUGGCAUGACGGCUGGCCAUGGCUAUGUCACUUAUAUUUUUAAAGAAGGUUAUGAAUACGUUUUGAAGCUUAAAUUGUUGUCCUACCUUGGUUCUAUUUUCUUCUUUGCGACUUUCUUGGUGCACCAUGAGUUCAGAGAAAGGGCUCCCCAAUUGGAUGCAAGCCGCCGUCAAUGUGGGGCCACUUUAGAUUCUCACUGGUGAUGGAAUUGCAACUUUGGAAGAAGGAAAUUUCCAAUUUGAGCAUUGCUUGGAUGAUUCAGCAGCAUCCUGUGGUUUAAGAUUCUCAGAACAACGAAGCUCAUCAUCGUUGACUGCAUUUGGGAGGCUGAUGGUCCCAAAUGUGGCUGCAACUGGACUUGAUAAGUUCAUGCAGAUGGUGUGUGAUAGCAUUUGGUUGGUGGAAACAGUGUAAUUGUUGAUUGUAGUUCUGUCUAAUUUGGUUGCUAGUCUGCCUAUGAUUGGUUCUGAUUCAGGCUUUGGAAUAAUUUUGUGUGGUUUAUGUCAUUUAGAGUUAUUUUUUGUCAAAGGAUUGUGGAUUGAAAGACUUUCGACACCACCACUGAAGGACCCCAUUGGCAAUAAUGUGUGAAAUGAUAUCAGAGAUCCAGUUGGAGGUCAUUUAGGGGCGAAGCUAGAGGGUUUUAUUAAGGCAGCCAAAGAAAAACAAUACUUUAUUAGUCUAACCUGGCUUAAAUAUAUUUUUAAUCCUUAUAAAGUAUAGUGAGUUUGACUUUGGUUCUCAUAAAAAAAAUGCUUUUAUAUCCUUUAAAAGUUUGAAAUACGUACUUAUCGUCCCCAAUGUUAAGUUUUGCAGUUAAGUGACAGUGUGAGUGACGGAAGACCACAACUGCCACAUACAUGACAUAUGAUAAUAGAGACUAAAAAUAAAAAAUCAAACUUUAUAAGGACUAAAAACAAAGAAUAGUUACAUUGAGGACCAAAGUUACUAAUUUCCAUAUUUGCAUGGAUGCAAAACCAUUUUUUACAAGGAAACAUAUUUAAGUACUAAUUCUGAUAUGUUAUCAGCCAAUUAUGCAUGACCAUAUAUGUGACUUUUAAUGUAGUUAUUUCAAGAGUCAAUCACUCUUAAUAACGCAACAAUGCAUGUUUGGUUGAUAGUGUAAAAGAUCUUUUUAUCAACAGUGGAUUACAAUUAAUCCGCACUUUAAUUAAGGGGCUCUCAGUUAAAGAAUUUAUAUUUUCCACAAAAAAGUUAACUGUAAAGUUGAUUUAAAAAAUUUCGGGUAGCCAUAGCCAGGAGUCUCCACUAAAUUCAUUGUUGGGUGUUAUGAAAACUGAGCGGCUGAAUCAAUGUUUUAGAGACCCAGUUGAAGCCUAUUGUAUAUAGAAAAUAAAUGUAUUGCUGGUUGGUCUCAUACUCAACUGAAUGUUUUGGAGACCCAAUUGGAGGUAAUUGCUGGGUGGUAUUGCUGCAUUGUACUCGACUCUGUUUUGAAGACUUUGCAAGUGGAGAAGGUCACUGAGGAGAAAUGUCUAAUACUCUAAAACUAUCUACUUGCUUGGGAUGCGUGCUGAUGAGUAGCAAGGAGUUGCAUGCCGAAAAUGUUGCCAAGGCUUUUGUCAUUCAGGGGGACAGGGGAGUACUAAUUUCCUUAUCUCUUAGUUGAGAUCAGCAGGAUUUAAAAUAUUGGUGGUGUUCUGUGUUUUCAGUUGAUGGGUUUGCUACUUGUAACAAGCUUAAGUAUAGAAAGCUUAAGCUCGAGGGGAGUGUUAGAUAAUUGAAUGGCCAUUAAUUAUUAGGUUAUCUCAUUCUUAGUGGUUUUGUGUGGUAGUAGUGGUGUUAGCACUUGACCUAAGUACCUAACUUUUGGUAUAAAUAGGGUAUUUGGAUUGUGUUUUCCAUGAAGUUAUCUUACGGAUCAUAUUUGUAAUCUUAAAAAGUUGCAGUCAAGAUCUAUCUUCACAUUCUUCCUUACCUUAUAUUCUUCAACAUUAUUGAAUAAGAGACAAGGACAAAGGCCACACAAUUAAUACCUUCACACAUUCUAGAAUUGUUGCACGAUGCCUCUGCACUGCCUGAGCGUCAAUAGUAACACCCCGCAUCAGCAUGUUUAAUGCCACAUAUCUGCAGGGAGAAGACGCGAUGAUUAAUUCACUUCAAUAAUGAAUAUAGCUUUUGCAAUGCAUAAGAUUACAAAUUUUAAUAUAAAAUUACAAAACAUAUAAAUAAUGAGAAUCAGGCCUGGAGAACAAAGGAGAAGGGGAUUGUUUCAUUAGACUUGAAAAAUACUAAAAGUAGAAGAAAGGACAAGGAUUUCACGUAUGUAUCCAUCACCAAGAGUUUAAAUUCCAAGUUGCUUUUAAAAUUCAAGUUGAAGAAUUCCAUGUUAUAAGUGAAACCUGGUAUAGAACAAUAAGCAUCACAUGAAAGUGGCUCACCUUUUUUGCAAAUAUUCCUAACCUAACAUGUAAGAUAUUAUCAAUGAUUAUCCAUGAUAAUCAUACCAUAUAGGCCAGAAGAGAAAUGGUACACGAGCAAAUUCCAGGUUAGCACACAAAGGUUUGACAGUUUUAGGUACCAUUACCUAACAACAGCCAUAGAUGCAACAUUUAUCACACUAUACAUAUAGAUUUUGUUAAGGUUCCAUCUCAAAACCAAUUGGCAAUGAGAGAAGUAGCUCAACAAGUAUUUAAACUACACCCAAGACAAUGAGGCAUGCAAUAUAAGACUUACUUCCCAACAGUGUUUUAUAUUGCGGUCACGGUUACUCCAAUUGCAGUCAUUAUGGUGUAAAUUAUUUUGUGGGUAAAAAAAUAUUUUUAAUAUCAAUGCGGUUUGAUGUGGCCAGAUGCAGCCGCAUCGUUGUGAUUCGGUGUCACAUUGCAAUUGCGGUUCCAGCGGUCACUACAACUGCAAAAUUGCGGCCACAUCAUGUGAUGCGGUUUGCAAUUUGAUUCACUGCUUCCCAACAUCCUUCUCCAUAGAAACAUGUCGAACCAGGCUAUGGGAUUACCUUUGAUCCAAGACAAAAAGCAUUUUUUGACCAAUGACAAUCGAAGAGAGGUUGGGUUCUGCCUCUGAUAUUAUGUCAAGGUUCUAUCUGAAAACCCAUCGGCAAUAAGAGGAGUAGUUCAACAGGUAUUUAAACCACUCUCAACACAAUAUGGUAGGAAAUGGAUCCUCUCCAGUACUGGAGAGUCCAGUGCUGGAUAGGAUGAUGACAUGUGGCCAAAAAAAUAAUUUAACGACUAUGAUUACAUGUUAUUUUCUAUUAAAAAUAAAUAAAAACUCUUUAAAAAAUUCUCAACCUCAUAUUCCAGUACUGGUUUCUCCAAUACUGGAGAGGAGUUGAACUCAAUAUGGUAUGCAAUGUAGGACUUACUUCCCACACAUUUCUAAAAAGACAGCCAGAUGUUUAAUAGCUUCUUACAAAUAUGAUUUUAACAAUAAGAACAAUACAAAAUUCAGAGCCACAAAGUACACUAAAUGGCUGUAUCGGCUAACUAAUCCACCUCCAGACCGGCUAUGUUGCAAUGAAGCAUAGGUCAUGGUUAUAUACAUCGAUUUCUAAUGAUUCUUUCUUAUUCUGUUUCCAUAUUUUAGCUUCUAGCAAAAACGUUUUUAGCAAACGAGGAAAGCAAACACAAUUUUAUUUUACACAAAUUGUGUUUGUGAAAAACGUUCUGAAGAAUCAUUUUUUCAAAGCCUAAACAAAUGGGUCUCAGUGCAUUUUUUCUCUCUCUGGAUUUUAGAAGUUUAUUUUAUGCAGUUUUCUCAGUUCUUUUAUCAAGGAAAACCGAUGUCCAGAAUAGUACCUGAUAUUGUUGUCACGGUUUGACAAGAACCUUCCUAGGAUAUUGAUAGCAAGCACACGUAAGCCACCAUUAUCUUCAAUUCUCAUUAUUGUUUGAACACACUCAUAUAAAAUGGCAUUCCCAGCAACUUUAUUAGACUCAGUCUUUGUAGCUACCUAAAAGAAAUAGCAACUUAAAAAAAUUUAACAACCAUACAUUUCAAAGAACAUGUUCUCUGAUCUGAUCAUAAGUAAUAGUAAAUACAAUUCAUCAACUCAUUUGGUGUAAAAUUUAUCUUCCCCUUGAUUGCACUUCCCCUUCUCUGAAAAACUUUCUUUGUCAAUAAGAAAAAAAAGCAACUUUUCUCAAAUUAAAGCUUUCAAUAUGCUUGUUCAGUUUCUUUUGGCAGACAUGGUUUGAUCAAAAUGUAUACAACAACCAAGCCUUUAUUCUCUCAAAUUAAAACAAUAUUCUCUCAAAUUAAAACUUUCAUGGGUGAACGACAUCAUAAUGCUCUAUCAUAAAUCAUGUUCAUUGACAAAUCAUUGAUCUCUAAGUCUUUCAUACUCAUUUCACCUAUGGUUUUUCUUGGUCUCCCUCUUACUCUAGCAAUUGGAUUAGCCUUCAUUUGAUCUACUCUCCUUAUGGGGCUUCUACCGGUCUCCUCCACACAUGUCCAAAUCACCUAAGGCACGAUUCUAACAUCUUUUCUACAAUAGGAGUUACUCCAAUCUUCUCCCUAAUGUAGUCAUUUCUAAUUCUAUCUUGUCUAGUAUGUCCACUCAUCCAACGCAAUAUUCUCAUCUCUGCUACAUGGAGUCUAUUGUCAUUUUGAUAUUUUAUAGCCCAACAUUCAAUCACAUAUAACAUUGCAAGUCUUAUACUGGUGUAGUAAAACUUCUCCAUAAACUUGAGUGAUACUUUUUUAUCACAAAUAAUACCUUAAUCACUUUGUCAUUUCAUCCAACCCGCUUGAAUUCUAUGGUUCAUAUCUCCGUCAAUUUUAUCAUCCUCUUGAAUGAUUAAUCCUAUGUAUCUAAAUCUAGUAACUUUUGAUAUGAUAUGAUCAUCAAUAUUUGAUCAAAAUGCAUACAAGUGGAAAAUAUGAUUUUCAACAAAACAUGACCACCACCAACAAUUCAGAAAAUGGCAAACAAUUUGAUCAUGGCAUUGGCAGCAUGAGAAUCAUAACAUCAUAAUACCAUGAAAUGGACAAUGUGCACACAACUGACCUGGGCAAGUAUGUCAUUCAUAGAGUCACUAGCAUCAACAUCACCUUCACCCAAUACUCGCAACAGUCUCAGUAAUCUGAUCUGGAGAAAAGGGUCUGUGAUGCCAGAAAUAUCAUAGUCUGGUGAAUAAGGACUGUUUGCUAGAUCCUUAAGAGCUCUGACCAUACUCUCUGUGCAUUUCUACAAUAAAUGUUCAAAUAAAUUUUUGCGACAAAAAUCUGAGUACAUUCUAUUCUCAUUUUGCAAACAAGUUUUUUGCAUAAAAACACGCUGAGGUGAAACAUAGCAUCACCAAAUUGCAUACACACCCUUAUUUAGAUUCCUGUAAAUAAUUACAUUUUAUUUACAUGAAGCUGGCUUGCUUGCGAAGACUAUAGUGUGGUGCCAUGCUUGUAGAAAGUAUAUGCUAGUCAUAUGAAAGUGUGUCUACAAACCCCAUUAUACCAGCUCAAACACAGAAAAAUUAGACUAAAUCGAAUUCAAGUUUUCAAGACAAGCUAGACUUUGAUAUUGAAAUUCUGGAUGCUUCUCUCAUUGCUAAUGAGAUGGUGGUUGCCAUUAAAACCCAGAGGGAACAAGGUCUUCCCUAAGUUAGACUUUUAGAAAGCUUACAGUCGUGUUCUCAGGUUUUUGUGGAAAAGGGUCUUGGAAAGGGAAGGGUAUAUGUCUAGCUGAAGAAAAUGGAUUUGAGGGUAUUUAUCCUCUUCUAGUUUUGCAGUGAUUAUGAAUUGAAAAUCUAAAUCUAGGUUGAGGGUCAACAUGGGUGAGCAAGAUGGAACCUUAACAAAAUGUAUUGUGUCAUUAUUCGGGACUUUUUAACUCGGUAACCCCAACAAGACUGCAUUCAUUUGUAAGUGAGUUUAGAUACUACAACACAUAAUGAUUUUGUCAUACUGUGUAUAGUAGAUAAAACUAUUUCAGUUUCAGUUAAUACAACAAGUAAUUCUGAAGAGAAUAUACUUGGUUAGAGAUGACAGUUAUAAGAAAGAUGUAAAAGCACCUUUUUAAUAUGUUCCAGAGCUUCUGUAUUAAUUUUACACAGAGCUGUACAAAGCUGAACCCCAGUGAUCAAAACUCCGUGAUGCUUCUCCUUAAGUAAGGCAGUAGCAGGAUUGACAAAAUUUUCUGCCAAGUCUGGAACUUUAUUUAUGAUUCUGAUAGAGCAUAGUGCUGCCUAUGUAACCACCAUGAAGAUAGUCAUUUUACCAGAAUAACCAAUAAUAACUCAAACAAUUAACAGGAAAGGUUUUCGCAAUAACUCAACAUAAAUUACAUGUUUACAAUUUUUAGCAAAUGGCAGACUAUUAGAAUUUAAGAGUGGUCUCUGUCCAAGUCAUAGGAGAGUGAACUUAAUCUUGUUUAUCAAUGGGUUAAGUGAACAAUUAUAUAAGUGAGUUUGACAUUGACUCAAAACCUUAAGGCAAUGGUCUAUGGUCUUUCCAAUAAUAAGUCUUAAUUCUAUUCAAUGGAGACUUUUAUUCCCAAUAAAGAGAAAAGCAGACUUCAACUCAAAGUAAUGAAAAGGGGAGAAACAUAAUACAAAAACCAAGUCUUAGUUUUACUAAGUGGGGUUGGAUACAUGAAUUGAUGACAUCAUAGUAUUCUAUCACAAAUCAUGUUUAUUGACAAAGCAUUGAUCUCUAAAUCUUUCCUAAUUGUUUUGUUAUGGGUUGAUCUACUAUAUUUACGGGGGCUUCCAAGUAUCUACUCAAUACAUGUCUAAACCACCUAAGAUGCGAUUCUACUAUAUUUUCUUAAAUAGGAGCUACCUCAAUUGUCUUCCUAGUGUUCGUUUUUAAUCCUAUCUUGUCUAGUUUGUCCGCUAUUCCAAUGCAACAUUCUUAUAUCUACUAUAUUUAGUUUAUUCUCUUAUUGACAUUUUGCCCCAACAUCCGGUCCUAUAUAAUAUUUAAGAGAGGAUCCACUAACUCCAGGAGUAAUUUAAAAAAACCUACUCCACAUCUUAGCCAUCUAUUCUAUGAAAAACUAAUGGUUCAAAUGUACUAACUAAUUCAAAUCACGUGAACCAUUAGAUUUUCAUAGAAUUGAUGAAUAAGAUGUGGAGUAGGUUUUUUAACUUACUUUUUGAGUAAAUGAAUCCCCUCCCUUUAUAUUUUGGGUCUCAUAAUUGUGCGAUAAAAUUAGGAGAGAAACAGUAUUAAUAAAUAAAGUCCUACUGCACAUCAAUGAAAAAAGAUUAUAAGACCUACCUUUCGUGUUCAAUGACAAAACUCUCAAACUAUGUUUGGUAUCAUAAGAUCUUUAAUGAUAAUAAAACAUCAGAGCCCUCACUAUGUACGGUCAGCUAUAUAGAUCAAUCAAUGCUAUUGGGUUGGCUUUAUCAGAAACCAAAGUUUCCGUAAAUCUACCAAGAGCUAAAGCAAUGUCUUUUACAGCAGUUUCCCUUAAUUGUCUUAUCUUAGUUUUUUAGAUUUUUCUCUACCCCACUAAUUUGGACUACUUUCCAUUUGAUCAAUUUCUCUCAAUGGAGCCUCUAUUGACCUUCUUCACACAAGACUAAACCAUCUAAAGAGGGUUUCUAUUAUCUUCUAACCAAUAGGUGCCACUCCUCAUAUUACUUCUAUAAUGCCAAAAAAUCUGUGUAUUACAGGGCACCAUAAGGUAAGCAUUAAUGAUGUUAAAGAAUGAAAGCAGACUCCCUCGUUGGGUACCACAACAUAAAUCUUCAUAGUUGAUAGGAUAACACACAUGACUCAAUUAAUGAAAACAUCACCUUCUUCCGAAUAUUUGGAUCUCGAAAUUGCAGCAAUCUCUCAACCUCUGGUGCAAGAUCACGAGCCAUUUCUGCUGAACAAAUGUUUCCUAAAGCACAAAGAGCAAGUCCUACUAUAUACUGGUUUGUGUGAUUAAGAUCUCUAUAACUCAGUUAAGGUUGCAAUAUCCCAUCAUUAAUAUUGUUCCUUCACAUAUUCAUAAAAUGAAAUCUAAAAAUUGAGGAAUACAAAAAACAAAUGAAAACAUUGACUUGAAACUGGAUACUGUUUCAAAGAAUUGGUGACCAACAUUAGAACUUCUUGUCUUUCAUCAACAAGCAACAUAAGGCCAAGGUAACCAAUUCUCUUCUCUGGAAAUCCAGGAGUCGCUAUCAACUUGAGGCAUUCCAUUUGACCAAAAUGUGUCGGGUAGCCAAGCAUGUGGAUGAACAUUAGCUUAGCCAGAUUCCGAUGGCUAUAGUCUUGAUCAUUCUCAUUGAUUGAAGCACGAAUGGCAGCACAUUCUUUUCUUACCACGGCACGUUCUUCUGCGGCAGUUUUAGAAGCACGUAUAGCACGGAUCAUGUCCCUACAAAGGGGGAUAUGAACUACACAGUUAAAAGAUACUUAUAAUAAUUAAACUAGAAUAUAGAAAUAGGAUAACACACAUGACUCAAUUAACAUCUUUGCGAGAAAAACUAGCAAUAUGUUAACUAUAUGAGAAAGGAAUAAAAAUCCACUAACAAAUACAUAAUUCUCUAAUUCAACCAGCAUAAUGAAUUCACCAUACCAUGUACCAUAUACCAAAUUCGUCAUAAAGAAUGUCUCGUAAAUAAAAGAGAAAACCGCAAACUGAUAAAUCAUUUUCAAGUAAAUUUCCCACAAUGGCAAUAAACACAUUUUCAAGUAACAAUGCAUGUAUCAAUGGCAACACCAUUUGAGUAAGAUCGAAACCACACGAUCUGAUAUGAAAUUCAAACAGUAACAUAGGAUCUGAAAUUAGCAAUAUGAUAAUAAUAUAAUCCUAUACUAAUUGGGAAUAUAUUAAGAAAAAAUGAGGUUAUUAUGAAUGUGGAAUGAGAGAACAUGAAUUUCAUUUUUUACCUGAGACGAGUGGGUGAAGAGAAUGGAUUCAUUGAAAGAAUGAGAUCGAAAUUGGUAACAACACAGAUUUGGAUCUGAAAAAUUUACUGUAUCAAUAUUUCAAAUUAAUGAACAAAGCUACAUUUAUGAAUUUAUGGUGUAAUAAAAAACAGCAUUCUUCUCCAUCACUUUUCUUUACACUACAAGUUACAUUAUUACUUUUCAUUUAUUAAUACUCAAUAAUCAAAAAUGGUUCCAAAAAUAUAUAUAUAUACCGACCGAUAGUAUACGAGUUUUUUAUAUUGUCACUAUUUCUGCACCAUUUGUAUCAAAUCAUUAACUCUUGAAUAAAAAGUAACAUAAAUUAAUUGUGAAUAAUUUCUUAAAUUGAUAAUGCACUUAAACUCUAUCAUUCAUAUCAUUUUUUGUUAGCACAAACAAAACUAUUUGAAAAGAUUAGCAUAAGAUUUUAAAUGAAAUUAGUAGGUUAUUAUCUUAUUAAAUACGGCUUAUUGUCAAAUCCAAUGAAUAAGUUUAUUUUUUUUUUUCAAUUGACUAGCUUAUAAGUUAUCUUAUAACCUCAUCAAGGUUGAGGAAUGACAACGAGGCGGAUCAAAAUUGCUUUAUGCUUACUCAAUCCUAAACCUGAAAUCCAAAACACGAAGUCGAACCCAAACCAGAACUCGGUGGAGUUGAAAUUAACAAUAUCAUCCCGAACCCAACAAGGAACCCGAAAAAAAUAAUUCAAUGGUUUUUGCACUCACAAUUGAAUAAUAUUGUUGGAUAACAAGGGCUCUAACACACUUAGAGGGUGUCAAUAUGUGUAGUGGUGUACGAUUCAAACUUUUCGGGUUUGAAAGAUAUUUAUUGAUUUUCCCUGAUUUAAUCGAUUAAUGGCUUAUUUAAUCAAUUAACAAAAUUCUCCAAUUAAACGAUUAUCUCCUAGCUUAAUUGAUUAACUCGGUGAAUUUCUUGAAUAAUCUUUAGUUCUUUAUACAAAGAUAUAUGCAAAGAUUAAUAUGUUUUUUCAUGCAUUUUAACAAUUCAAUUUAUGUGAUUUAAUCAUGCACAUACAAUUAUACAACAAUUAUAAUAUGAGUUGAAUUCAAGAUAAUCGAAAUUGAUAAUUGCUUAAACGUAAAUGAGUAGGGAUAAGAGAAAUUGAGACGCUCAAUUUUAUCUUAGUUCGAUUGUCAGCCACUGCAAUCUACAUCCAAUCCUCCUCUUUUAAUAUAAGAGAUUUGCUUUCACUAUGAAGAAUUUGAAUGUUCUUACAAACAAUCUUCCAUCUAGAACUUCUUGGACCUAACUUCUAAUGGAUAGUCUCACCACUACUAGCUUGGGAUUUCUCCAAAUUCUUCUCUUCUUCUAUGGUGAUACCUCACACCUUAAGAGAUGAAUUACAUCUCGAAUCGUUUUCUUGUGUACAAUGAGUUUGCAUAUUUUCUUGUGCUAGUAUACACACAUUCAGAAUAUCUAAACCUUCUUGAAAUAUUUUACAAUCUCAAAAUAUGAUGAUGUAUGAUUGCGGGAUGCAAAGCUUCUUCGCAAACUUUUGAUAUGAUGAUAAAUUCUUGAACAUGUCUCUUCAAAGAUUCAUGAAAAUUCUCUUAUCUUGUGUCAAAGUAUCUAACUGUCUUUUUUCCCAGAAAAAACUCUUGUUUGAUCAUGAAAAUCGUUGCAAACACUCAUGGAAAUUGUUAGUUAUUUAACCAUUUGUUUCAAUCAAUUUUCUGUUAUAUUAAUUCAUUACAUUGAUACUUAAUCGAUUAAUGUUCUAUAAAAAUCGAAUUUUUCAAAACUAAAACUAACUUAAUCGAUUAACCAUGAACUUAAUCAAUUAACGAGUUUCCCAUCUUGCAAGGACUUCAUCGAUUAACUAUGAACUUAAUCGAUUAAUUGUUUUUGAAAAACAGUUAGUUAAUAUGCUAUGGACCUCUAACAUGAUUUACUAAUGUAUGACGCAUGAUUUUGAAAUGCCAUAAAUUUAACAUUGUUUAAUCCAUCAAAAUCAUGAUGUCGUGUAUGAAUGUUAAUGCAUCUAAACUCAUGUAUGAAUGUUUAUCUCAUAUGCGUCAUAAUCAUCAUUCUAAUUUGUGAUAUUUUCAUUUGGUUCAUCUUACCUAGACUCUAUCAUUCAAAAUAUCUUAGGACCUAAGGAAAUGAAAAUUACUCUUAAGUUUUUGUUGAUCCUCUUGACGCUUGAGCUUGAGCCUUCAAUGUUGUUGUUGAUUUAGCUUGUCCAUAUCCUCAUGUUUUUUCUUCAUCAAAAUUAUGCAAUGCACACUUGCAUUCAUAAUCUUCCUUUUUUUUAUCAUGACAAACCAAUGUUGCAUCUUGCUUUGAUGACAAUAAACUAAUUUUGAGAUUUGCUUGAGCUUUAAGAUUUGCCCCCUCACUUUGUGCAUUUGAUUUAUUUACAUUGAGGAAGCUUGAUAAAUGUAUCAAAUUUACAAAACAUAAACAACAAUCUUUCUUCCCCUUUUGGCAUAAUCAAAAACCAAUGUAAACAUAUUAGCCAAAAGUGAAGAAAUAAUGCAAUUUUGUCUGGUCUUAAUCAAUUAUACAUGGUCUUAAUCGAUUAAGCAUUUUCUGAUUUCACUUGAAAUUGCAAUAUUAUUGGUCUUAAUCGAUUGAGCCUGUGAUUAAUCGAUUAAGUGUUCAAUAUUUCUUGAUUUUCGCUUGGAAUUACAUAUAAUAUCCACAAAUGUUUCAGCAAGGAUAUCAAUGUCUUGAUGAACAAUUAGAAUCAUGAUUAUAAAAAUAUGAUCAACGCAAAGUUUCAAUUCAUUUCAUACAUUGAUCAAAAUAGUCAAAAAAAUAAAAACAAUAGCACAUUGAAACCAAAGGAAAAAGUACAAUGAAUCAUAAGAUACAUAAACUUCAAUGAUCGAAAUAACACACAACCUAUGACAUAACUAACUAGGAUUAUUUAUUAUCGCCCUAAGCUAGACUAGCCACUAUGAGGUAGUUGUGGAAAUCCGCCAAAGUUGAGAACAUAAAGUUGAGGUGAUCAAAAUGAGCCUUGGUUGCUAGUUCUUAUCGAUGAAACUCUAUCAUAAGCCUUUCUUCCAUAGCGUGUAUAUGAUUAUAAAUGUGCUCAUUUAGGCAUUGUUUCAUAUCAUCUAAGUGUGCCAAACCAAAUGAUGGUUCUUGAGGCAUAUUGGGAGCCUCACCAGGUUGUGGUUCUUGGUUUUGCUCAGCUCGAUUGGCAUCAUCUUCUUCACCUGAUUCAAAAUUAAGAGAUGUUUGAUAUACUUCUUGAUACAAUGACAGACUGUUGUAUACAUAAAUGCUCAUAUUGUAGAUUAGACUAUCAUCAAUGAGAUGCUCUAUGGGAGUCACAACUAUUAUCUCCUUAUUGCAUGUGUUAACCCCAUAAUGCUCUAUGACACAUGAGAUUAAGAUCCCAUAAGCAAGUAGUCUUGUGGAAGAUGAAUCGACGUCCGAUAUCGCUUUCAGAAUUUCAACAGUUCAGUUGAUCAUUAUGCUUUCCUUGACAACAUACGUAAGCUUUAGAUCAUUGUAGGUUGGUUGAGCAAGGUUUGUGUUGCAAUGAACCAAGAUAUAGGCAAUAAGAUAGUGUAAAAGCCUUUUUUCAAUUGUCAUUGACCAAACCUUUGUAAGCUCACCUUGGACAUAGUAAUGAGGUCCUCUUUGUGAAUGCAAGUGUGCAUGAAAUGAUUUUGAUGAAGACAAAACUUAAUGUUUAUAAAGACAAAGUUCAAACAAGGACAAAUCAACUACAACAACAUGAAGACUCAAGUUCAAACUUCAAGAGGAUCAACAAACACUAAAGAGUAAUUUUUCAUUUCAUUAGGUCCUAAGAUGCUUUAAAUGUGUAGAGUCUAAGUUGGGCAAACCUAAUGAUAAAUCUCACAUAUUAGAAUGAUGAAUAUGAUUAUUUUUAUAAACGAGUUAUAUUAAUUCUUAAUGUAAUUAUAUGAGUACCCUAGCCUUAAAAAAUGUAUACCAUAUAAGAGAACUUGUAAAAUAAUACCAUAUCACAAACUCUAAAAAAAUUAAUGAACUUUUCAUUUUUAAUAAUAUCAAAAUUAACAAUUUUUAAAUAAGCAACUACAUAUUCAUUCAAAAUUUCAAACAUUUACCUUAAUUAUGUAUUUUUUUAUACUCUAAAAUUAAAUAGACCUAUAGUCAAGGAGAUGUAUAUGCGUCUGGUAUACUUUUUCUUAAUAACUAGAAGUAUACAUGUGCGAUUCGCAUAGCUCGAUUUGUUUGACACUGAAAAAUGUAUUUAAUAUUUAUAUUUAAAUAAAAAAUUCAAGUUUUAAGUUAAAUAAAGUCAUGUAAUAAUUUAAAAAUAGAAUAUAAAUAUUAUAUUUGUAUGAGUUGAAAUAAAAAAUAGACAUGUAAGUCAAAAUGAUUACAAUAAAUCAAACUUUAGUUCAUAAUAUGUUCAAAAUAUUUGUUUUUAUUUUUACUACUAUAUAUUUAUUUUGUAAUUUUACUUAUUUUUAUUUUCUAGUUAGUAACUAUUUUUAAUUAAAUUUUUGUUUUAAUAAAUUAAAAUUUUGUAUCUUAUUUUUAGAUCAUUAUUUUUAUUUUAAAACAUUUGUUUUCUUAUUUAUAUUUGAAAAUUAUAUGUAAACAUGGAAUGUUUGGUAAUUUUUCUAACUUUGAAUCUCUUACACGUUACAUAAUUAUGAAAUAGUUAUAAUCAUUAGUUUUUUAAUUCAAAUAUAAUUAUUUCAAUAUUUUAAAAUUUGAAUAACAUAAAAAUAAAUUAGUAACGUUUAUCCGACGUAAAUUCAACUUUUAUUAUUGCAAAUGUCAUAACUAUGUAAUCUCUAAUCAAACAUCAAAUUCAUCUACCAUUAUUGAAUUACCAUGAAUUAUUGAUAUGUGUGUAUAAGUCUAUUAAUUACUCAUGUAAUAUAUCCUUACAUUUGAAUUAAUAUACAUUAUUUUGAUAUGUGUAAUUACGUUGAAAUUGAAUUUAUUGAAAUUGCAUCAUCCCACCGUUACAUAGAUUAAGAAACAUGUGUAUUACUGAAAUUGAAUUUAUCAUAAAUUAUUGUCCCACCAUUAUUAAAAUUGUAUUUUAUUUUAAUGAAUUAAGAAACUCGUGUAUUACUUCAUUAUGCAACAUUAAAACCUUAAACAUAAUUCUAUAUUCUCAUUUUCAGAUGCUUCUCUCUUGUAACUGAAAGUGCAAAGUGUCAAGAGUUGAUGCAGGGGGAAUUUGAGAUGUCGAUGAUGGGUGAACUGACCUUCUUCCUUGGGCUUCAAAUUAAACAAAUGGAAAGUGGCAUCUUCAUUCAUCAAUCGAAGUAUUGCAAAGAAUUAUUAAAAAAAUUCGAAGAGAACUAGGAAUUUUUGAUGAAAAAUAUAUUGAUUAAUAAUGUGUAAUUGCCUUGCAUGACCUUUUUUCCUUGUAUGCUCCAUUAUAAAAUCUUGUUGAAUGCUCAUAAUUCCUUGUAUAAUCCAUGAUUAUGUGUAUAAAAGUCUUUAAAUAUAUGUGAUUGAUUAAAAUGCAUUUAACAAUAAGUCUUGAAAUCCCUACAUGCUUUUAAAAACAUCCAGAAUGCUGUAUCUGAUGCACUUAAUCGAUUAAGUCAACUAGUUAAUCAAUUACCUGGGCAAACAUUUUAAAACUUGUCAUUUUUAACUCAGGUUAAUCGAUUAAGGGAAGCUGUUAAUCGAUUAACGACAUCAAUAUAUUAGAAAUAAAAGCAUUUCUGGGCAUUUUUCAAAACCCCAUUGAUCCCCUUUCUCUCAUACCUCAGAGGAACAAGUCCAACAUCAUCCCUAAGCUUUAACCUAUCCUAAACCGAAUCACCCCACUCCAUUUCCACUCCAUAAACCGGCUUCUUCAUCCCUUAUUUCCAAGAAAUUUGUUUUCCCCAAAUUGAAAACCCUACCCUAGGUUUCCCCCAAUUCUUCCUCUAAACCUUCAUCACGGUUCAGUUUCAAUUGCAAUGGAGAGAGGACGUGCUAAGAGAAUCAAGACAAUCGCGCAACGUCCGCCGCGUGCCCCAAAAGCUGUGCCAUCUUAACAAUCAAGGAAGGACUGCGGGGACCCAUACUAUUCAUUGAUUCUGCAAGAAACCCGAUUGCUAAAAUUUCAGGGGAGAAAACCCACAUACAUUCGGUUUGCGAAUUGGACUUGGCUAACGGAACAAAACUUCGAUUUCCGCAUGGUUUGCAAGCUGAAGGGGUUGUCCCCUUCUUGGAAUUAAAAGGUAACAUUUACCCUGCUCUAGUUAGGGAGUACUAUGCUAAUUUUAGAUACAAAGAUGGAAAGUAUUGGUCAAUGAUUGCUGGAAAACUGUUUGAGAUUAAUGAAGAAAUUUUUAUGAACGUGGGUGGUUUAGCUUGUACUAGUGCUAGUUUAAGUGAUUGUGGUUGGGCAGACAACAAAUCGUUUGAUGCUGUUGAAAUGUAUAAGUCUUGUUUGCGUAGACCUCAAUUAUAUGUUCAGGGCGAAUUGACCAAAGCUGGGUCACUAUCCAUGGAGAAUAGGCUCCUACAUUACUUGAUUGCCUACAUAUUGAUUCAGAGGAACAUAAAUCAUGCACAACCUACGAUGAAUGAUUUGAGGUUCAUGUUUGCUGUGAAGGAGAACAUCAUGAUAAAUUUGCCUGACGAGAUUCUGAAGGUCAUGUAUAGCGUCUCCACUUCUCAAUCAAGGUUGCUUCCUUAUAGUAUCUUCAUUUCACGAAUUAUUCAUUAUCUACAUAUUGAUGCAUAUUGAUGUUUCAGAUACUAUAGUGCUAGACUGUUCAGACAAGGAUCACUUGAUUGGUGAAAGUCUGAUUCAUAAAAUGUGUAUUUACAAGUAUGGCAACACAUGGAAAUAUCAAGAGGACUUCAACACUGUGAAUCUUGACCCCUUCGAUGAAGAUGAUCAAGAUGAUAACCAAGAGCCAUUUGCUGCAAUUCAGGGGGAGUAUUCAGGACAUGCAUCACAGGAACCUGCUUUUGGUCAAGCUUACAUGGAUGCUAUAGAACAACGUCUCAACAAUAGGAUGGAUCUCCACUUUCAGUCUCUUAAGGACUCAUAUCAUACGGAUCUGGAAAAUUUUGAGGAGCGUCAGAAUGCUUAUAUUGACAACCAUUAUCAAUCAUUAAGGAACUAUGUUCAGAUCACUUCUGACUCACAAACUAGAAGAUUGUGUGCUGAGUUCAACAAGCUGAGGCCUUCAUUAAAGGUGGUGGUAGCUCGUUGACUCCUGAAAACCAGAAUCCUCCAUCUCAUCCUUAGUUAGGAGCCCUUAGAGUUUUAGUUUAUCCUUCCUUGCUAAUGGACUUUGUUGUUCCUUGUUCCCUCUUGAGAACUUAUCUUUUAUGUUGCAUUGUUGCUCUUAUUUUUCGGAUUUUAAUAACUCUAUAACUUCUGCUGAAUUACUACUUUAAACAUUGCAUUACAAUGAUUUCACAUUAUAUUGUCCAUUCUUGAGUACUAAUUAUGUUGCAAAUAAUAUUCUUCUUAGUUUUAAAUGGAUCUUGAUCAUGGUUGGUAUAUGUGAUUAUAUUGAAUGAUUAUGCCUACUGCUAACUGCUCAAACAUGUCAAAUGCUUAAUCGUUCCAUGCUUAAUUUGAAUUAUCAUAGCCUUUCAUGCCAUUAAAACUAUGACAUUGCUGUUUGCUGUCCAUUUAAUCGAUUAAGACCUUUAGUUAAUCGAUUAAAUGAUGUUAAAAUUGUGCAUUUGUUCAAGCUUCUCACAGCUGGUUGAUUGAUUACUUGCCCAAAAUUAAUUGAUUAAUUACAACUUGUUAUAACUAUCAUAACUCUCCUGACUUUUGACUAGAAUUGAAUACUUGUAUUUUUUUAAUAAUUUCAAAAGGGGGAGAAAAGUUGCUUGUUGUGUAAUAUAUAUUUUGCAGGUUGUGUAAUAGUUUUUUGCAGGUUGUUUUACAUAGCUUCCGUAUAAUGAUUGCUUACCUAAGGGGGAGCAAAUGCGCUUCAACUUUGUAUAUUUGAAAAACAACCAUUAACAACCAUUGUGCAAAUUCAUCAUCAAGCUAAUCCAUCAAACAUUUGAAGAAUCUUGAUGUGGUGUUUGUCAUCAUCAAAAAGGGGGAGAUUGAAAGUACAAAGUGUCAAGGAUAGCACUAGCAAUUCUUUGCCCAUGUUUUGAUGAAGACAAGGUUCUAUUAAAGCUUGAAGAUGGCUCAACAAUCAACAUGCCUUAUGCUCAUUUGGUCAUAUCUAGACUAGGAUAAUAAUUAGAGUCACUAUUCUAAGUAGUCUGGGAUGUAUGCCGUAGUAAGUGUGUAUAGGUUAGGUGAACCUAGAUGCUAGUCUCUCAAGCCAUCUUAAUUGAUAUAUCAUAUCCAUGAGACAUAUCAUCUAGUUAAUUGUAUGUUCAUGCAUCUAUCAUACAUGUUAUAUGUGCAUAUUAGGCAUAAUAUAAUUGGUAGAACAUGUNNNNNNNNNNNNNNNNNNNNNNNNNNNNNNNNNNNNNNNNNNNNNNNNNNNNNNNNNNNNNNNNNNNNNNNNNNNNNNNNNNNNNNNNNNNNNNNNNNNNCAGUAUAAAAAUCCUUGUGUACUCUCUUCUCCUUAUCUCUUUCAUUUUAUUUCCUAUUAUUUUUCUGGAUAUUGUUCCGCUGCACUUUAACUUUGAUUUUGCAGAAAAAGCGGCCAUUAUUUUAAGACAACUAAUUCACCCCCCUCUUAGUUGCACUCUGAUACUUACACAUACAUGUUAUAUGUGCAUAUUAGGUAUAAUAUAAUUGCUAGAACAUAUAUAUAUGUUGUGCAUAACAUACGAGAAGUUUACCUUUUGAAACAUGUACUUUAAUGUGCCAGUUAAUCGAUUAACGUGGUGACUUAAUCGAUUAAUUCAACUGCUUUUCUGUUAAAUCAGUGCUUUAUGUUACAACUGUUUUCUGUGUCAUUCUGUUGCAUGGUUAAUCGAUUAACGGGUAGCCUUAAUCGAUUAACAUGUUUGUUAUUUGUUAUAACUGAUUUCUGUUUUAACCAUUUAACUGUUUGUAACGAAUCUAACUGCCUAAACUACUUGCUAUAAAUAAGAGGCAACGUUCAGAAAACCAUAACAUUGCAUUCUAUUGUAUAGGAUUGAUUUUAGAGAGCAUUAUACAUUUUGUUUACUGUUUUUGCAAGAAAGUUGCAUGUGUGAGAAGAGAGUUUUUAUGCUGAAUUAGUUUCUGAAUUCUUGCAUACUGGUUUUACAUAUUUCAUAUGCUCAUUCUUAUCUUGCUCACAUGUUCAUGCAUUAUAUAGAUUGAUAGAGAGAUUAUUUGAUUUCUAUUUGAUUAACUCACAUGAUUAUUGAUGGCUUGAGUGAUUAGUGAGUGGGUUAGUCUUUAGAUCUUUUCUUGUUAUAUUCCAAGUAUUAUUGUGCUUAGUAUAUCUUACUGUUUAAUAUGUUUUUGUGUAUUUCUGGAUUAAUCUCUUGGUGUCAUAUCACCAAAGACAUUGAGGUUAUUCACCAAGGCUAAGAGGUCUUGACUUGAGGACAAGAAUCUUGGCUAAGGCUGUUUCGUGAGAAUGGUUUUCUCAGGCGAAGGGUAGAGUCAAACCAAGGAUUUAGGGGUCCCAUAUUUCAAGAAAGAAGCGUCGUAUGUGUUUGUAAUUAAAUUGGUGUGUGUAUUCAUACUUUAACUCAAUAUUGGGAAGAAGAAAAUCUCUCUAGAUUAGAAGGGGAGGCCUGGAUGUACUUUGCAGUGGACCGCAAAUGAACCGGGAUAAAAAUCCAAUUGUGUACUCUUUUUCUCUCCUAAUCUUCUUUUAGUUUCUUGAUGUUAUAAAUUGAAAUUGUAGCUAAUACUUUGGAUAUUUGUUUAUUGUCAUAUGCUCAUUGUUUAUGCUUAAAAAUAUCUGUAUUAUCUCUGUUCAAUUAUUUUUAAAUAACUAUGCAAUCUGUCUUUCUGGUCAUUCUGUUCUGUGCAUGCGUUAAUCGAUUAAGACUAGGUGUUAAUCGAUUAACUAUGGUGUUUCCAGAAAUUGGGUUUUAGUUUAAAAAGCAAUGAUUGAUAACCGCUACACCUAUUCAACCUCUCCUUCUAGGUGUUCCUAGGCCACUAAUACCUAACAAUAACCUUAAAAUAAUGUAAAUAUAUAAUGAUAUUAAUAAUAUAAAUAAAUUUUAUAACGCCAAUAAAUCUUGUGUUAAUAAUUACUACAUAAGUCAUAUAUAGAAUGAUAUAUAAUUAUGUAAUAGAGAGAAAAAAAUAUAUUGAUAAUGCAAAAAAACUGAACUCAUAAACUAAACUGCAUAUAAGAGAAGUAAUGUCUUAAGCUAUUCUCUAUUUAUAUUUGAUUUUUAGUAUUAUAUUUAUUUUAUAAUCAUUUUAUUUUUAUUUUCUAGUUAGUAACUAUUUUUAAUUAAAUUUUGUUUGAAUAACUAACAUUUUUUAUCUUUAUUUUAUAUCAUUAGUUUUCUAAUAUUGAAUUCCUUUUCUGAUUCAUAAUUAUGAAAUAGAUAUGAUUAAGUUUUAGUUUUAAUAGUUAUUUUAUUUUUAAAUCAUCAUUUUGAAAUUCGUUUUGAAAUUUGAAUAGCUUUGAUGGUUAGAAUAUAUUAGUAAGAUUUCUCCCAUGUAAAUUUAAUAUUCAUAAUUGCAUAUAUGUAAUUGUGGAAUGUACAACGAAAUAUUAAAUAUGUAAUAUAUUGGAAACACAAUUAUCUCAAUUCAAUUCUUAUUAUAGAGUUAAAACUAAUUGUUAAUGGAAGGUUCUAGGCGUCAACAAUCAUUAGAUUCCAAUUUUAUCAACUGAAAUCAAACAAAUAAUCCAAUUAAAUGAAAAUCAAUAUGUUUAAAGAUUUCUUUCUUUAUUACCUUAUGGAAUGAAAAUAGAUUCCAGUUGAAACAUAUAAUGAGCAACAAUAUAAAUAUUAAUAUGUCAUCUUUAUGAUUCCAAUUAGAAAUCAUAUAUUUUCUGGUUGGUACUAGUUUUGUUGGUACUACAAUACUUAAGAAUGAUUGCAUUGUACAAUUUCUUUUCAUUGAAAUUAAUAUGAAUUUUGACUUAAUGUGUGUAUAUAAAAUAAAGAUUAACGAGUGAGAUACCUUAUUCAUAAAAAAAGACUUGCUCAUUAUACUAUGAACCGUACUAUCUCAACUAAUUUGUUCAAAGUAUCUUCAAUAACUAUUUUUUCAGACAAUAAUUGAAGAAAUGUUUAAGGGUAUAAUAAUACACAUGCUUCUUUUAUUUCUCAGCAAAACUUAGCAGCUAAGUUCCUAGACAAAAUAGCACCUCAAAGUUCAGGUCAAGAAUAAAGCUCUAGAGUGGGUACAUUUUCACUUGACAUAUUGAGUACAUAAACUAUAAUUCAUGAAACAAUAUGUUGUGAGUAACAUAACAUAACAAAGAACAACCUCAUCACCAUUUUUUAUUAUAUUUAGUUGUUUCAUAAUGCAAUUCAUAUCUCUUAUUCCAACGCCGGUAUAAUGGUUUCAAGAAUAUUCCAGUUACAACUUACUUCUAAUAAUCAUGUGAAUAAGUUAUUCCUUCUUUGCCCCAUCUCGACUUUGUUAGAAUAAAUUCUAACACCGGUACAAUGGUAUCGAAGCAAUCCCCUAUGACAUAAUUAUUAAGUAGCUUUGAAUAGCAUCUCGGUUUUGUGGAAUAAAUUCCAACACCGGUUUAAUGGUAUUCUAAUGUACAAAAGUGAUGAAUAGUUAGUUGUUAGAAACAAAUNNNNNNNNNNNNNNNNNNNNNNNNNNNNNNNNNNNNNNNNNNNNNNNNNNNNNNNNNNNNNNNNNNNNNNNNNNNNNNNNNNNNNNNNNNNNNNNNNNNNCCAUAUUCAAAAGAAAUUGUUAGGAGCAUGAGCCAUCCAUCCAAGGAUUGGAUGCUUUGAGUUCCAAAUGAGAUUACAAAAUUGAUUUUUGCAUCUCAUUUGCCUUCUCCUUUUCUCCUUUUCUCCUCUUGAAUUCUAAACUAAAAUUACAAACUUACUUGAAAUAAAGUUCCUAAUAACUAAGAACAAGAAGAGAGAACUUCAGAGAAUUUCUAGGAAAAAUGUGAGUGAAAAUGUGAGAGAUAUGUGAUUUUGAUGCCCUUUUGCUCGAAUGGAAUGUGCCCUAUUUAUAGAAAUUCUUCUGGGUUGUUGAGCUGCUUGUCAGCCCCGCUAAGCAGUUGACCAAACCCUUCAGCAUGGGUUUGGUCCCUUGAUCAAGCAACUUUGUCACCUCCUUAUGCUUGACUCAUCAAAGCUAGUUGUGGGCUAUGAAACCAACUAUUGUGAGCAGCCUAUGGUGGGCUACUUGAGGUGAGGUCAUUGGUGACUUCAUGGUUUGCUUGUUGGUUAAGCCAAGUCUGGGUGCACACCACUCAGCACACCUGUUGCACUGCUAAGCUGCUUGUUCAGUAGCUUUGACCGGGCCGACUCGCACGUGGCCUGAUGCUUGCUGAUCUAGGCAGGAGUCUGGUUCUCCGCUAAGCUGCUUGUUCAGCAGCUUGGGCAUGUGCCAAGCUCGUGUCUGACCGUGUCAAGCUUGAGUUCUGACCGUGCCAGGACUAGUCUGGUGCUAGGCUGAGCGACCAAGCAGGUCCACUCUGCUGCUUGCUUGAGCAGCUUGGUCCAGGUCAGGCUGGUGUCGAGGUCAACUUAGCGUGGCUUGUUCUACGCUUAGCUGCAUGGAUGGACACCUUGGUUUUUGACUUUUCUUUUUGACCACGAAUCAUUUGUUUCUCUUCUUUUCUUCUUUCUAAAUCCUACAAAAUACAUAAAAAAGAAACACAAACACAAAUAUACAAGAUUGUGAUAUUUUAUACAAAAAAUAUUGUUUUAAGUUGGUUUUUCUCAAUUAUGCUUAAGAUAAGUGCCAUAAAAGUGUAUGAAAUUUAGGUAUGUUUGGCACUUAUCAAACUCCCCCCAACUUAGAACUUUGUUUGUCCUAAAACAAAACGUGAAAAUCAUCCGAACCCAAAUUGGCUAAAAAUAAUAAUAAUGAUCAACAUGAUUUCAAAUGUAUAAGCAUGUCAAAAAUAGAUUUCAAUGAGAUUUUUCAUGAGUUGUGAAUUUUGACACAUAAUGCUUCAAACAAGAAAUCAAUGCUUUUGCUUAUAAAAAAUGUGUAACCAUUUACCUAAACAAAUAUUUUUCUAACCAAAAAGUGUUUCUUUGCACACAAGUUCAAAGUUGAAACUUUUGAAGGGUAAGUGUUUCACUCAAAUUUUCAAGCAUUUGUUUGUAGUAAUUUGAACUUGUUCUUCAUCUCACCUAUUCUCUUAAAUUGUAUAAUUAAUCAAAGAUCAUAAUGUCUUUAUUUUGGUUGUAAUGAGGCUUGGUUUGGAUAAUGUUUUUUCAAGAUUUUCAAGGCUAAGUUUAAAAAUAGAGUAUUUUUGAAAAUUUUCUCAAUGGAAUACUUUACUCUUCUUUUUUCAUUAUUUUUCCCAACCUCUUUAACUUUUUGAACCUUGACUUCUAUUUUUCUCAAUCUCUUUUUGUUUCUUUUUUUAUUUUUUAAAGAUUGAGUUUUUCUUUUCUUUUGAGAAGCAAAGUCCACCAAUUUCCACCAAUUUUCCCCCCAACUUAAUCCUUUCAAACUAAUCUUUAAAAUUUUAAUGCUCUUUUAGAACAUUUGUUUUCAAUUCAGUUUCAUGGGAUAGUUUGAAAACAAAUUAUUUCCUUUGUUUGGCUCAAAUGGGCUUAUCAAAGGAUGUUCCUAAUUUGGUUUGAACAAGUUUAAUUAGACAAAUCAAAUGUUGAUUCUCACUCAUGUGUUUGGCUCACUCCCUUACUUGGUUUGGAUUCACACUUUUUUAUUUAAAAAAUGUUUGCAAAGAUCUUGUUACAUAAAAUUGAAUUUUCAAUUUGCAAAAAUUUCAAGUUAUGACAUUAUAUGAUUUUUUUCAGAAAUAAAAGGGAUUCAUCACCUAUGGAGACAACAACAAAGGAAGAAUCUUAGGCACUGGGAAUAUUGGCAACUCAACCCAUAUAAUAAUCGAGAAUGUUCUAUACGUAGAAGAUUUGGAACAUAACUUGUUGAGCAUAAGCCAACUAUGCGACAAAGGUAAUCAUGUGUCAUUUGAUUCUGAUUGUUGUAUCAUUCGUGAUGUAUUAUCUAAUAAUGUUAAAUUUGUCGGAUAUUGGGUAAAUAAUAUUUAUAUGGUUAAUCUGGAGGAUGUGACUUCUCUAUUUUCAAAAUGUUUUAUUUCAAAAGAAGAUGACAUCUGACUUUGGCAUAGACGCGUCGCUCACAUUCAUGUUAAGCAUUUAGAAAAAUUAUCUAAAAACAAUUUAGUAAUUGGUCUUCCAAAACUCGAUUUCAAAACUCAGGAUUCUUGUGACAUGUGUGAGAAAUAUAAACACAAAACGAAUGUGAUAUCCACUACUAGACCAUUGGAGCUUCUCCAUAUGGACUUGUUUGGACCGUCACAAAUUAUGAGUUUUGGUGGGAUUUAUUACGCUUUAGUAAUUGUCGAUGAUUUUUCUAGAUGCAAACCGACUUUAUUUUUAGCAUCAAAGAGUGAUGCUUAUAAAUCUUUCAAAUGUCUAGCCAAACAAAUCCAAAACCAGUCUAAUCUGAAAAUUGUUUACAUUCGAUCCAACCAUGGCGGAGAAUUCAAAAAUCAUAAAUUUAAUAAGUUUUGUAAUAAGCAUGGCAUCAUGCAUCAGUUCUCAGCUCCCCGCACCCCUCAACAAAAUGGAGUUGUUGAGAGGAAAAAUAGAGUUCUAGAGGAACUCGCGAGGACUAUGCUAAAUGAGAGCAAGUUUCCAAAAUAUUUCUAGGCUGAUGCAGUUCACACAGCCUGUUAUGUAAUUAAUCAAAUACUACUUAGACCUACUUUUUCGAAAACACCUUAUGAAAUACUUAAAGGUCGAAAACCCAAUAUUGCUCAUCUUCAUGCAUUCAGGUGCAAAUGUUUUAUUUUAAAUAAUGGUAAAAGAUCCUUAGGAAAAUUUGACUUGAAAGCUGAUGAGGGCAUAUUCUUAAGGUAUUCAUUACAUAGUAAGACAUUUCGCGUGUUCAAUAAAUAUACCAUGCAAGUAGAAGAGACCAUUCAUGUUCAUUUUGACGAAUCUUCUCCAAAAGAGAAGAGAAAGGUCUUUUAUGAUGACAUUUCAGGUACACUAGAAGAAGUGCAAUCCAAUGACAUGAAUAAAAUCCAACAAGAUGCGGAGCAAAUAGUAGAAGAACAACAUCAGGAUAUGCCUAUUGUAUGGAAGACUAAAAAUGAUCAUCCACUCGAUAAGGGGUUAGGUGAUAUAUCUACGGGGGUGGUAACCAGUAGUUCCUUACGUAAUUUCUAUAAUUUUGUUGCAUCCAUAUCUCAAAUAGAGCCAAAGACCAUCGAUGAAGCCAUCGAGGAUGUACACUGGGGUAUAGCUAUGCAAGAAGUGCUAAAACAGUUUGAGUGAAAUAAUGUGUGGGACUUGGUCCCCAAACCAUAAGAUCAUCCCGUGAUUGGCACCAGAUGGGUCUUUCUUAAUAAGCUAGAUGAAUCUGGCUUAGUAAUAAGAAAUAAGGCUCGCUUAGUGGCCAAAGGCUACAACCAGGAGGAGGGCAUCGAUUAUGAUGAGACCUACGCUCCUGUAGCCAGACUUGAGGCCAUUAGGAUGCUCUUGUCUUUUGCAUCAAUCAUGAAUUUUAAACUUUUCCAAAUGAAUGUCAAAAGUGCAUUUUUAAAUGGAUAUAUUCAAGAGGAGGUAUACGUAGACCAACCACCAGGGUUUGAAAACUUCAAAUACCCGUACCAUGUGUAUAAACUGAAAAAUGCCCUAUAUGGCCUAAAACAGGCUCCUAGAGCCUAAUACGAUAGAUUGAGUUCGUUCCUACUUGAAAAAGGGUUCGAAAAAGGUUUGGUCGACACUACUCUCUUUAUCCGUAGAUCAGAUAAUCAUGUUUUAUUUGUAAAAUAUAUGUUGAUGAUAUUAUCUUCGGAUCUACUAAUGACAUCCUUUGUAAGGAACUUUCUGAGUUGAUGCAGGGGGAGUUUGAGAUGUCGAUGAUGGAUGAACUGACCUUCUUCCUUGGGCUUCAAAUUAAACAAAUGGAAAGUGGAAUCUCCAUUCAUCAAUCGAAGUACUGCAAAGAAUUACUAAAGAAGUUUGAUAUGGAGCAAUGCAAAUAUGCAUCUACACCCAUGGCUUCCGCAUGUUAUCUUGACAAAGAUGAAAAGGGAAAAGCGAUUGAGGUAACUAAAUAUUGUGGGAUCAUCGGCUCCAAAUAGUACUAAACUUCUAGUCGCCCCGAUAUUAUGUUUAGUGUUUGUAAAAUAUAUGUGAUUGAUUAAAAUGCAUUAACAAUAAGUCUUGAAAUCCCUACAUGCUUUUAAAAACAUCCAGAAUGCUGUAUCUGAUGCACUUAAUCGAUUAAGUCAACUAGUUAAUCAAUUACCUGGGCAAACAUUUUAAAACUUGUCAUUUUUAACUCAGGUUAAUCGAUUAAGGGAAGCUGUUAAUCGAUUAACGACAUCAAUAUAUUAGAAAUAAAAGCAUUUCUGGGCAUUUUUCAAAACCCCAUUGAUCCCCUUUCUCUCAUACCUCAGAGGAACAAGUCCAACAUCAUCCCUAAGCUUUAACCUAUCCUAAACCGAAUCACCCCACUCCAUUUCCACUCCAUAAACCGGCUUCUUCAUCCCUUAUACAAAAUAAGAAUAUAUCUAUAAAAUAAGAACAAAUCCACAAAAUAAACAAAAAAAAGAUUGAAGAAGAAGAGAGAGAAAUCAUUGAAGAGAAGAAGAGUGAAAGAGUGAUAAAAUGAAUGUAAAAAGUAGAGAGAGAAUGAAUGAUGAGACAUGAAUGAAAAAUAUGGAAGAGAAGAAGACCCACUUCAUUUUUGGAGAGUGGAAAAUUCAUCCGAAAUUCAAAUCUCUUCAUUAAGAAAAUAGUAAUUCUUUUGAAAGAAAAAUAUAUAAACAAAAUAAGAGAUGCACAUAGAGUAAAAAACUAACCUACAUAAAUGCUUCAAGGGAGGCAAAUCACUCUUGGAAUAAGGAACACAUCUACAAAAUAAAUGAAAAAAUCAUUAAAAAAUCAGUAAGAACAUAUGUAGAAAUAUAAAAAGAUCUAUAAAAUAUGAACAUAGCUACAAAGUAAGAACAAUUCUACACAGUAAACAAAAAACAAUGAAGAAGAAGAGAGAUAAAUUGUUGAAGAGAAAAAUAGUGAAAGAAUGAUGAAAUGACGAGUGAAAAGUAGAGAGAGAAUGAGUGAUGAACCAUGAGAGAAAAAUAUGGAAGAGAAGAAGACUCACUUCAUUUUUGGAGAGUGAAAAAGUCAUCCGGAUUUCAAAUCUCUUCAUUGAGAAAAUAGUGAUUCUUUUGAAAGAAAAAUCUCUAAACAAAAUAAGUGACGCACAUAGAAAAAACUAACAUGCAUAAAUGCUUCAAGGGAGACAACUCACUCUUGGAAUAAAGAACACAUCUACAAAAUAAAUGAAAAAAUCAUUGAAAAAAUCAGUAAGAACAUAUCUAGAAAUAAAAAAUAGUUCUACAAAAUAUUCAGAUAUCUACAAAAUAAGAACAUUUCUACACAAUAAACAAAAAAAUAAUAAUGAAGAAGAAGAGAAGUAAUUUGUUGAAGAGAAGAAGAGUGUAAAAGUGAAAAAUGAAGGAGAGAAAAGUAGAGAGAAAAAGAUUUGAAUGUUAUUAAUGAAUGUUUUUAAUUUUAUGUGUGAGGUUGUACAUUAAAGAAGUGAGACAUUUUAAGCGGGAAAUUUUUGCAUAAGUUGAUGACAUGUGUCCCUAGUUGAUAUGACAAUUUUUUAUAGUUAUAUAAGUAAUAGAUUUUGUAUGACAAAUGUCUAUGACCAAUUGGGUAUGUCACUUAUGAUCACAAUAUCAUAUUUAACAUAUAUAUAGGAUGUAAAGCUUAUUUCAAUGAUAUAAGCCUUGAGAUUCAUUAAUUUUACCGUGUAAUAUUUAUAUGAGGUUAAUGUAAAGAUUUAUACAUAUUCAAUAUAUCAUUUGCACUUUAUUUUUAUUUAAGAGUCAAUAAUGAUUAAAUAGUGAUGAUUUAAGAGCCAAUAAUGGUUUAAUGACCGGUAUUAUUAGUGUACCAUACCACUAUUGAGAGCGGUUUACCAGUUGAACGAGCCGACACAAAGUUUUUAUAAUACUGAUAUGAGUUAUAAGAAUAUGCUACUAUUCUAGUAUACACAUAUUUAAAUUUGAUAACUACUAGUAUAUAGCUUACAUCAGAUUAGAAGAGGAAAUAAGAUUUCAAAUUAUAAGAAUAUUAUUUUUUAAUUCUCUUAAAUGCAGUAAUUUUUUUAAGUUCAUUAUAAAAUUUAUUAAAUUAUAUAGCUGUGUGAUAAUGACCUUGUAAUUACAUGUGUUACAAUUUGAAAAUAUCUAUUUUAGUACUAUUUGAUGACAAAAAUAGCAUAAUUUAAUUUAUCGAAAUAUUACACAUUAUUUUGUUGGACAUAUAAUUUAAAAUUAUCUACUUUUGUAAUAACGUCAAUUCAUUCUAUUUAUAAUACGAUCAAUUUGAAAAGACACAUUAUUUUUGAAUCUAAAAUAACUGCAUAUGGAAAUUCACACAAGUAAAACACAUUAAUUCACACCAUAAGGAAAUGUCACCUCCUUCUUUGAUUACAAAUUUGGCAAUUAAUUGUGAGCCUUAAUUUGAAUCUCAAUCAAGGCAAUUCAAGACAUUCAUUUUCCACCUAACCAAAUUAUUUUUUGAGUUAAGAUAAAACAAUUAAAUUAAAAUAAGAUAAAAAGAUAAUUUUUUUAACAAACAUACAAUUGUUGAUCUUUAUUCUUUUCGAGUUCAUAUUUAAGAAUAGAAUAAUAUGAUUAUAAGAAUAGAAUGAUUUGAGUUACAUAGCAUUAAAUAAUCAUUUAGUACAUAAAUGUUUUAUUGUGUUUUACCUUCUUGUCCAACGAAAACUAUGUCUAGUACUCUUACAACUUAAAAGAUUUAUUUACUUGAUAUUAUGAGUUGUAAUUUCAAUUUCUCUCUCCAAGAUUCCUUGUACAUCACAUAUUCACUAAUACCUCACACCCUUGGAAAACAACCUUUCCAAGUAUUAUCUUCCCUUUCUCAGCACACCCUUGUGAUGAAAAGUUUACAACAAGAUAUGAAGAUAACUUUCUAGGGAAAUGAUUGCAUUACAAGAUAUAAAUUUGCUAUAACUUGAAAUCAUAUUGCUCUUUAUACUCAUAGUAGACAAUGCUUAAUAUGCGUUUAGGUUUCUAAAACUUUAGAACAUGCACUUAAUGUAACUUCAGAAAAUUUUGAAAGUUUGGAACAAAGGUUAAAUAAGGAAGUGCAACGAAUUGUAAGUGAAAGUUGUGAAAGUUUGGAUGAUUAAGUGUUGGAACAUGGUUUGUUGAAAACCAUUAGUGAGAACUUUUGGGUGUGAAAUCUAAAAAAUUCUCAAGUCCCACAUAGAAAAGUUUUGAAAAACAAAGUCUCAAGUCCCACAUUGUAGAGAUGAGGAACAUGAAAAAAAUCUCAUGUUAUAAAUAGAGGCUUUCUUCCCUCAUUAUAACUUGCCCCAAGUUGAAUACGUUUUCAUUCAACUUUUUCUUUCUCCCUCAUAUUUUCCGCCUAUGCAUUUCCGGCAAACUUCUCCCCCUUUCUUUCCAUGACACUAUGAAUUGGCACAGGCAACCAAAUUGUGGGAAUUUCGAGAACUGACACUAGUAGUCAGUAUUGAGGGAAAAGAAUUGGCACAAAUAGCCAAAUUGUGGGCAUUUCGAGAACUAACACUGGUAGUCAGUAUCGUGGGAGGAGAAUUGACACUGUUAGCCAUAUUGUGGAAAUUUCGAGAAAUGACAUUGGUAGCCAUAUUGUAGUGGGUGUAUUCGAGAUUGGUUUUUACAGUACAGUAAGAAUUCGAUAACAGAGAACUAGCCUGUUUUAUCCUAGGGACGACGUGCUUGAUAGUCUGCUUGCACAUUUUGGGUAGUGUCACGAAACGUCUUAAAGAGAGCGACUUGGUCGUGACUCAGCCAGUAAGUAUUAUUUCGUGUCAUUUAUAAUUGUUGCAAGCUACGUUAACAACAAUUUUAAGAUGUUUCUACUGCAAUGACAUUCAUAGAUAAUAUUACUGGACCGAAUAACUAUGACCUGAACAAACCAUUUCGGUUUGAUGGGACAAAUUUCAAACGUUAGCAACAUAAGAUGAAAUUUUUCCUCAUUAUGAGAAAAUUUGCCACGUUUUGAAAAUCAAUGUCCUAAUGCUGCUGAAGAAAGUUGUAAAAAAAAGAAGAAUAAACUAGCUAUUAAUAUAGCUCUAUGGAAUGAAAAUGAUUACUUUUAUGAAUUUCAUUUUGAAUGAGUUGUCAGAUGGUCUCUAUAAUUACUAUAACCCAUAUAAGUAUGUCAAAUUAAUUUGGUAUGCACUUGAGAAAUAAAGAAAUAUGAUAUUGAGGAAGUUAAGAUAAAAAAUAUAUGAUGUUACCACUACCUCAAGUAUCAAAUGACUGAUAAUAAAUCAGUAGAGUCUCAGUCCUAUGAGAUACAUAAAAUUGCUCAUAAAAUCAUUUCCAAUGGUAUGACCCUAGAGAGUUAAACUCACAGAGCCUAUGAAUGUAUAUUCUUUGCGUAUGCUGUAAACAACAAGGCAUGCAAGUUUUAUGACCUUAACGCAAAAUGAUCACUGAGUCUAACGAUGUUGACUUUAAUAAGAAGAAAUUCCUUUUUAAAUUGAUGAAUAAUAGGGGCACAUCAACUAGUCACAUACAUGUGAUUAGAGAUGAUGAUAAAAAAAAUGAAAGGUUUGAAAUAGAACCUAGCAGAAGUAAGAAAGCGAUAACUGCUAAAGAGUAUGACUUGAUUAUAUUGUCUAUAUAUUAGAGGAGAAUCCAUCAACUCUCCAAGAAAUUGAGAUGAUAACAUUAACAACAGCCAAUGAAGAAGCGUUAGCUGAGAAGUUUGCUUGUAGGGAUUCCUCUAUGGGAAAAUUGAUACCAGUUGCAUUGAUCCAUUGUGAUAGUAUCAUGACUAUUGCAAAAAAAUGAGAACCACUUUUAUAACGGUAAAGAAACGACAAACUUGUCAUAAGUACAACACCAUUAGAGAGUUAAUCUUUACAAGAGUUAUUAGAGUGGAUUAUGUACACAUUGAGAAUAACUUAGCAUAUCCUUUGACGAAAGGACUAGCUAGAGAGAAAGUCUAUAAUACUUCUAAGAGUAUGUGACUAUUGCUCUUAGAACGAGGAUCACUGACGAUGAUAAUCCAACCUAACUGACUAGAGAUCCCAAGAAAUAGGUUCAAUGGGUAAUAACAAGUUGUGAAGUGAUAUGAGAAUGAACAUGCUAUAAAAUUAUGAGAAGCAUGAUUCCUGUAGCAUAUGUAAGGAUGAGUUAAAACUCUUAAUGAAAUCUAUACUCCAAUUGGAGUGGAGUACCUAGGCUACAAGAGUACUCUUGAUAGACUCACCUAUGUGAAUGUGGAAGUGAGGACCACUCCCUAUGAAAUUUUGGGGCAUAAAUUUCUAGAACGUUCACUAUACUGGGAUAGACGUGCAUGACCUUUAAAGCACGGGUUUUACAUAAUACAUCUUUGAAAAGGUUGUGUGUGGUUUGAUGCUGGAGAUAGAGUUCAAGACUACGAGUCACUCUAGUAAAAUCUGGAUGUAAUUCACUAUGCAAAGGGUCAAGUUGCAUGACACCUUUGUUUAUGCACAAUCUUAUUGAGACCACACAAAUAUUCUCGGAAAUCGUCUUUUAACUUCAAGUGGGGGAUUGUUGGAACAUGGUUUGUUGAAAACCAUUAGUGGGAACUUUUGGGUGUGAAAUCUAAAAAAUUCCCAAGUCCUACAUAGAAAAGUUUUGAAAAAAAGUCUCAAGUCCCACAUUGGAGAGAUGAGGAAUAUGAAAAAAUCUCAUGUUAUAAAUAGAGGCUUUCUCCCCUCAUUAUAACUUGCCCCUAGUUGAAUGCAUUUUCAUUCAACUUUCUCUUUCUUUCUGUGGCACUAAGAAUUGGCACAUGCAACCAAAUUAUGGGAUUUUCGAGAACUGACACUAGUAGUCAGUAUUGAGGGAAAAGAAUUGGCACAUGUAGCCAAAUUGUGGGCAUUUCGAGAACUGACACUGGUAGUCAGUAUCGUGAGAAGAGAAUUGGCACGGGUAGCCAUAUUGUGGGAAUUUCAAGAAAUGGCAUUGGUAGCCAUAUUGUGGUGGGUGUAUUCGAGAUUGGUUCAUACGGUGCAGUAAGAAUUCGAUAAUAGAGAUCUGAGUUGUUUUAUCCUGGGGACGGCGUGGCUGAUAGUCUGCUUGCACAUUUUGGGCAGUGCCACGAAACAUCUUAAAGAGAGCGACCUGAUCGUGACUCAGCCAGUAAGUAUUAUUUCGUGCCAUUUAUAAUUGUUGCAAGCUACGGUAACAACAUUAAGUGUCACGAAAUGGGUGUUCCUUGGCCUUUAAAUAAGCUUCCAAUAAGCCAAUAUACCCUUACACGAAGGUGGGACACGAUUGGAAUGAAACCCAUUUAGUUUGGAUGAAAGCUGUUGAGUUUGGAUUUGAAAAUAUGUUUUAAUAGCUAUGUGUAGUCGAUUACUGAAGCAUGUAAUCGAUUACCAAAAUAUUUUUGCAAUUAAGUAUCUAGUUACAUUAAAAUAAGAAAUUACGAGGAAGAUAAGAUUACUUAAUACAUAUUUUUCUUCUCUAUUUGUCAUUUAUUUUUGUUGUUGUAAGUGUGUCUUCAUGUUUCAUUCCAGAAUAUUGAUGCAGCCAUAGAGGAUCUGAAAAGUAAUAACUGUAAUAAAUAAUAUUGUAAAAUAAUUGACGAAAUUACUAAUUAAUCACAAUCCCAUAAAGGCCAAGUUAGGAAGCUCACAAUUGUGUAAACCUCGGUUGUUUGUGUUUAGCAAAUUUAUAUAUAUAUAUAUAUAUAUAUAUAUAUAUAGAAAUUACACAGUACCAAAAAUUAAGGAGGAUAAUAACGUGAAAAUUAAUAUAAGUAAUAGAGUAUUAAAAAAAAAAAGUCCCAACUGUAAACGUUACUGGUUGAUUAAACCCAACCACCCCUAGGUUUAGUGUCUUGUUACUCAGGAUUUUGAAAAUUGUUUUAAAUUAACUAAGAUUUUUCCAAUUAUUUUCAAAAUUGUUUUUCCACUUAUUGAGCCUUGCUACUAAACUAUUCAGAGAGCCUAAGGAUAGAAGUACCUAUUGAAGACUUAUAAACUAUCUGCCUUGAAGCUUGCUCUUCUUUCUCUACAAAGUCUUCCUCAUUUUUCUUCCUUUUAUGAUCUUGAUGUAUUCAUAAAAAAAAUAUGCCAAGAUUAGGAGCAAGACCUUCUUCAAAACAUAUAGGAUGAAUAAUCGAUUAAGAGUUGAAAUUGAGUUAGGGUUUCAAAAAGGGGGAAAGCAGGGUAAGUGAUUUGAAGAGGAAUUGAUGGGUUAGAAGAUAAGAAGAAGUAUGGAUAUCGAAUAGAGUUGCUUGAAAUUCAAUUUAGAGAUGAAAAACAGGACACAUUUGAGGAUGAAGGGAAUUUCAAGAUAGAACACACGAGGUAAACCUAAAACAGAAUUGAACUAAAACUGUACUUGAAUAUGUCAUGUAACUGGAAUUAAUCGAUUAAGUUUUGAGUUAAUCGAUUAAAAAGUCUGAAAAAUUAACAUAGAUAAUCGAUCAAGUCCCCAUUUAAUCGAUUAACACUCUUAAUAAUUUCUUAGGUAAUCGAUUAAAACACAUAAGAACUGAUUAAAUAAGUCAUUAUCUCUGAUUUUAGCACAAUUCAGAUUAAUUAAGGGUUUGCUAAGAAUCCACUAGAAAGAGCCUAUCCUAAUCAUUUAAUACACAGAAAGCCAUAUCCAAAACACAUGAAAACAUAUACAAUCAAGAAUUCAUGCAUUUAUUGGCGAUAAGUGUGAUUCUUUAGGAUUAGCUAGAUAUCUAGUAUACAUGUAAACACUAAGCAUGAUAUCAGGCAUAAUAGAUGAUAAAAACAGUAAAGAACUAAUCAUGCCUCUUAUUUUGUUACAUCAAUAGCCUUUAUCUUUUUCAUCCUUACCAAGAUAACAAUAAGUUGCCAUUUGUUGAAGUUUCUUUCACCUUUCUUCAAGUUCUUGAUUUGUCUCUUUCUCCUUCUUGCAUAACAUUUGGUCUUUUCAAUAUGCAUCCUAAAGGGCACAUGUAAAAUCAUCACAAAUACCUUUCCCCUCUUCUUUUGAAGAUGGCUCAUCAAAUGUAAAAAUGUAUAAAUUUUUCCAUGGUCAUUUAUCUUACAAUAUAGUAGACUUGUUAUACUAUUUCAUGAUUAGAAUAUCCUAGAAAUAUUUCUCCAUUCUUUUUUGAAUCAAAUUUGCUUAAUUUUUUUUUACAAUUAUUUAAGAUGAAACAUUUGCAUCCAAAAGCAUGUAAAUGAUAAAUAUUUGGUUUUUGGUCUUAAAAAAGGUUUUAUAGGGGGUUUUCUAAAAAAUAUGGUUUCACUAUGAUUUUAUUAAUAAAUUAUCUAUGUUACUUGAAAUGACGCAACACAUAGAGUUAGAAGAGAUACUUUAUUACCUUUUGUAACACAAUUUAUCAUUUUCCAAUCUUUCUAACUUCAAACAUUUGACUUUGAAAAUUUUCUCCAUAAGUUAUAUUCUCUUUUCCCUAGGUGAAAGCUCGAUGAAUCUUGAUCAUAUCACCGAAAAUGUGCCUAAAGCAUUCGUUCUCCAUGUACCAUUUGAUGUCCAUAUUGUGAAGAAUAUCUUACUCCUGACCUUGACACAAUUUUGAUAAAUAUAGUAAGAUCACAAAAAGAAGAAAAAGGAAGAAGACUAUGAAAACAUAGAAAAUUCAAGCUUCAAGGAUAUUAGAGUUUAAGUCUUAAAUAAGUACUUCUAUCCUUAUGCUCAAUUUAUAAUUAGUAGCAAUGCUCAAAGAAAUCAAAAUUAUUUUCAUAAGAAUUGGAUAAGUCUUUAUACAAUGUCAAAAAUGCUAAGUAAUGAGUUACUUGACCUAAGUAACAAGUUAUUAGAUUUGUAACAUGUUACCUGAAUUGUGUGACAGUUGGUAACAAGUUACUGAAACUACGUAACAUUCUAAUCGUGUCUCCUCUUGAUGGAAGGUUAUUUUGGCUGAUUGGAAUCCUAUUUAAAGGCAUUAAGACAUUCAAUUAACAUACAAUCCAUACACAAAUCAUAGAACAAUUUUUCAUAACUUAGUAAAAUAAUUUAAGUACUAUUUGGCAACUUUUUCCCCAAAUUUUCAAAUUUUCUAAGGUUGCUUUAAUUGCUUAAGUUCUAAACUUUCAAAAAUAUAAGAACUUUGUUUAAUAAGUAUGUAUUGUGAGAAAAAGGAUUCCAAGUUAUAGCAUUGUCAAAAAUUGUAAAGACAAUCCUGCCAUUGAUAUAUUCUUCAUCUUGUUGUAAAAUUUUCAUCACAAGGGUGUAUUGAGAAGGGGAAAAGAGUUCAAUUGGAAAUGGUGUUUCCCAAGAGUAGAUAGUUGUGAGUGUGUAAGGUACAAGGGUCUCGAGGAAAUAAUAUGUAGUUGAAACUCAAAUUAUCUAGUGGAAAAAUAUCUUGUGUGAUAAGAGUACUGGAUAUAACUUUCGGUGGACAAGAAGGUGAACCAAUAUAAAAUUAUCUAUGUACUCUUCUUCUUCUGCUCUCUUUGUGUAUUUACUUUUAGUGUUUAACUUGGUUUAUUUUUGCAUCAACAUUCCAAUGCACAAACAUUUUGAUAUUAAAGUAGAAAAAUCAGCCAUUUCUCCCAACAACUAAUUCACUCCCCUCUUAGUUGCUAUUUAAUACUUACACAUAUAUCAUUAGGCACACCUAAAAAAGAAAUUUGCUUGCAUGUCUUGGGUACCCUAAUGAUCUUGGGUCCCUUAGUAUUAGUUACCUUGGGAUCUUCUCCCUUAGAAAUCCACAUAUAUUGUCCAUUUGGCAUACCAUACAUACUAAUAUGACAUGAACUUAAAGUAUGACCAUGCACACCAUAAUAGAAACACGUAGGAGACUUAUGAUAUGAAAUUUUCGAAAAAUCUACCCCUUUCUUGUAAUAUUUGUUCUUUGCAUGUGUAUAACCCAAUCCAGACCUAUUUCCAAACUUUCAAAUUUUAUGAAGUUGCUUUAAGUGCUUAAGUUCUAAACUUUCAAAGAUAUAAGAACUUUGUUUACUAAGUAUGUAUUGUGAGAAAAAAGGAUUGCAAGUUAUAGCAUUGUCAAAAAUUGUAAAGGCAAUCCUGCCAUUGAUAUAUUCUUCAUCUUGUUGUAAACUUUUCAUCACAAGGGUGUAUUGAGAACGAGAAAAAAGUUCACUUGGAAAUGGUGUUUCCCAAGGGUAGAUAGUUGUGAGUGUUUAAGAUACAAGGGUCUCAGGGAGAGAAUUUAUAGUUGAAACUCAAAUUAUCUAGUUGAAAAAUAUAUUGUGUGGCAAGAGUACUGCAUAUAACCUUCGGUGGACAAGAAGGUAAACCAAUAUAAAAUUAUCUGUGUACUCUUCUUCUUUUACUCUCUUUGUGUAUUAACUUUUAGUCUUUAACUGGGUUGAUUUCUACAUCAACAUUCCACUACACAAACAUUUUGAUAUUAAAGUAGAAAAAUCAGCCAUUUCUCCCAACUAAUUCACUCCUCUCUUAGUUGCUAUCUAAUACUUACACAUAUGUCAUUAGGCACACCUACAAAAUAAAUUUACUUUAGUGUCUUGGGUAUCCUAAUGAUCUUGGGUCCCUUGAUAUUAGUUACCUUGAAAUCUUCUCCCUUAGAAAUCCACAUAUAUUGUCCAUUUGGCACAACAUACAUACUAAUAUGACAUGAACUUAAAGUAUGACCAUGCACACCAUAAUAGAAACAAGUUGGAGACUUAUGAUAUGAAAUUUUCGAAAAAUCUAUCCCUUUCUUGUAAUAUUUGUUCUUUGCAUGUGUAUAACCCAAUCCAGACCUAUUUCCAACAUUUCUAGAUGUAGCAAGUACGUUGUUUAAGUUGUGACUACUUGUGAAAUUUGCAACUUUAUCUUUAAAACUUUUUUUCUCUUUUUUUCCAAAGAAAGUGCAUUUUUCACAAGUUUGGGUCACAUUUAAUUUAGUAGAAAAAUCAUAUGAAGAGUUAGCAUAGUUAAGAUCUAACAUUUCAUUUUCUAAUUUAAGCUCAUCAAUAAAAUUUUGCAAUUCACAUAUUUUCUUUUCAUGUUCCAAAAUUCACAUUUUGUCAUCUGCAUACUUUUUUGUUAACUUUUUAAGUUCUUCAUGCAUUUCAAUAUAAGAUCCAUAUAGUAUAUCAUACGCAAGGGAAUUAUCAGAGUUACAAUCAGAAUCGGAAGACCUUACCUCACUAAAUUCACCUUGCUCACUAAUUCGGCAAGACUUAUGAUUUUGCGCUAUAAGGCAUAGCUUGGUCGAUUAUUCAUCUUUCGAGGUGCUAGAUAUUGUGUCCUCUUCGGGUACAUCCCAAAUGAUAUACGCCUUCUUGGUCUUGAUAUCUCGAGAGUCUUUCUUUUCAUGCUCAACCUUCUUGAGAUAAGUAGGAUAUGGGUACUUCAUGUGCCCUACUUUUCCACACUCAUGGCAAGUUAAUUUGUCUUUGUGAUACUUGCCCUUCUUGAUUGGGUCUUUUGCAUCUUCUUCUUGAAACUUUAUGAAUCCUCCCUUCUUUCUUAAUAACUUUAUGAAUUUUUUGACAAUGAGGGAUAUAGUUUCAUCAUGGAUGUUGGAAUCAGACUCAUCAUCAUCAAAUCUCUCUUCUUGACUUCUUGGUUGUCAUGUUCUAUCAGAGUUACAAUCAGAAUCGGAAGACCUUACCUCACUAAAUUCACCUUGCUCACUAAUUCGGCAAGACUUAUGAUUUUGCGCUAUAAGGCAUAGCUUGGUCGAUUAUUCAUCUUUCGAGGUGCUAGAUAUUGUGUCCUCUUCGGGUACAUCCCAAAUGAUAUACGCCUUCUUGGUCUUGAUAUCUCGAGAGUCUUUCUUUUCAUGCUCAACCUUCUUGAGAUAAGUAGGAUAUGGGUACUUCAUGUGCCCUACUUUUCCACACUCAUGGCAAGUUAAUUUGUCUUUGUGAUACUUGCCCUUCUUGAUUGGGUCUUUUGCAUCUUCUUCUUGAAACUUUAUGAAUCCUCCCUUCUUUCUUAAUAACUUUAUGAAUUUUUUGACAAUGAGGGAUAUAGUUUCAUCAUGGAUGUUGGAAUCAGACUCAUCAUCAUCAAAUCUCUCUUCUUGACUUCUUGGUUGUCAUGUCCUAUCAAGACAUCUUAUAACUUUGUUAGCCAAUUCACCAUUAGCAAGCACUUUAUCUAAUGAAAAAAAGAUGAUUAACAAUGUGAUUAAAUCGCUUUUGCAUAUUAUUAAUAGAUUAAUAUGGAAACAAGCGAAAUAACUCAUAUUCAUGUGCCAAUGCAUUUAAUCUAGCCCGCUUGACUUCACUAGUGCCUUCGUGUGUUACUUGUAAAGUAUCCCACAUUUCUUUGGCACUCUUGCAUUGUGAAACAUUAAAGAAUUCAACAUCUAAAAGUGCAUCAGUAAUAUUGUUUUUAGAUUUGAAAUCAUGUUGCAUUUUUCUCUUAACCUCAUUGGUCUAGAGACUUUUUGGCUUUUCUUUAGUUUCAUCUUCCACUAAAUGAAGUGGAAUAGAAGGUCCAUUUUGUGUGGCAUCCCAAAUAUGCAUAUCUAUAGCCUUAAUAAAGAUCCUCAUUCUGACUUUCUAGUAAGCAUAGCCCUCCCUACUAAAGAUAGGAGGGCGGUUGAUAGAGGAUCCUUUACCACUGAAAGGAUUUGUAGAGCCCACAGUGUAUAUCCUUGGGAUUAUACGAAUUUGUAGAGCCCACAAAACUUAAUCGAUUAAGUAGUUCUUGUUUCUUGAUAAACUUGUUUUCUUUAAACACCAAGAUGCAAAAAUUUGAGUAAACUUGUAUGCACUCUACAAGAUGAUAAUAUAAAGUUAAUGACACAUAACAAAAUAUGCAAUUAACUCUGAGAGAUUUGAAUGGCAAGUAAAAGGAAUCAAACAAUGCAAAAACAUAAAGAGUUAAGGGAUAAGGAAAAUGAGACGACGAAUUAUCCUGGUUCGAUUGCUAAUUCAUAUACAAUCUACAUCUAGACUUCCCCUUAUAAUAUUGGGAGAUUUUCUUCACUGUGGAGCAAAUGUUUUACAAACACACUUCCACCACUUCUAAUGGCUUGCCUUCACCCACUUCAAAUGGCUCCUCACCACUUCUAAUGGACGGCUCCACCACUUCUAACUUCUCUACAAAGACUCUUUUGCAGUGAACCUAACUUCUAAUGGCUCCUCGCCACUUCUAACCAGGGUUUCCCAAACCUUUUCUCUUCUUCUUGGUGAUUCCAUACACCAAAGAGAAAUGUUAAUACAAUUGUCUAGAAUGUGUACAAAUGAGUAAUGCACCUAAACAUACUGAAUAUGCAUACACUUCCAGAAUCUAAAACCUCUCUAAAAGUCUCACACAUCCUAGGAUUAAGAUGUGAGAUGAAAAGUUUUGUAAACUUGAUUUGACUAUAAAAAUCUUGAAAUACUUCUAUAAGGAUUCAUCAUGUAUUCACUUAUCUCUUUUUGUGUAUCAAAACACUUUUCUCUCUUUUUUAGAAACACUUUGUAAAAUCUAUCUUUUGAUGUGAAAGUGAAAAUCAAUCUAAUUCCUGAAUAUGAGAUGCAAAUGGGAAAAGUUGGUUUAAAUUAUAGUUCUAUUUUCUAAUGUAGUUAAUUGAUUAAACACUCUACUUAAUCGAUUAACGAUUCUUUAAAAAUCAAGAUUUCAGAAACUGUAACUUCCAUUAGUUGAUUAACCCUUAACUUAAUCAAUUAACGGAUUCCCAUUUUGCACAACUUAAUCGAUUAAAUAAACCUUAAUUGAUUAAUGGUUUUCUAGAAGUUACUUUGAUGUGAUAUAAACCUCCUACAUGAUUUGUAAAAGUGUGAUGCAACAUUUUGAAUGAUGUGUGAUUUAAACAAUGUUUAAUGCACCAAAACCACGUGAUCAUGUAUUUAUACAUGUGCAUGUAAAUCAUGUAUGUAUGUAAGGUUCAUUAGUAGUUAUGCACAUGUUUUAGGCUGUGAUGCUUCCAUUAAGGUUCACCUAACCUAGACUCAACCCAAUCAAACAUCUUAAGACCUAAGAUAACAUAAAAUACAUUUAGCCUUCUAGAUCUUCUUGAAUGCUUGAACUUUUAGUGAACUUGAGCCUUGGCUUUGUUGUUUGUUGAUUUGCCCAUAUCUUCAAGCUUGUCUUUAAACUCUGUCUUCAUCAAAAUCCAUGUGAUGCAUGCUUGAAUUUACACUUUUCUUGCUUGUAGGUUUUUUUAACCAAGUUUAUUUGAUCAGUUUCCAUUUCAUAAAAAUAUUGGAGUUGUGACAAUUUUGUGUUGUGCAAUAUUGGGGUGCAAGAAUGGAGAUGAUCACAUUCAAGUGAUUUAGGUUUAUGGGUAUGGAAGAAAUGCUCUUACAUGACCAAUCUUUCAUUUUUUUCAACAUAUUUUUUAUCUCUCUCAUGCGAAUGCUCAUUACAGGUAGUGAGGAAAAAAACUUAUUUUAUUUGUUGGGUUUAUGGGACUAGGGCUCUUAGCUUAUGUAGAGAAAUAGAGGAGGGAUAGAAAGGAGUUGGGAAAUUAUGUGAAAUGUGAAGAGGGCCUAGUUAAUAUCUAUAGGUUAUGAAUUAGAUUAGAUGUGAAGAUUUGAAAAUAUAAUUUAACAUGAUAAAUGAUGAUAUAAAGAUUUCGGGUAGAAGUCAUAAUAUGUUUCACCUUUUUAAUGCAUUAUUCUUAAUGGAGAGUAGAUUAAAAAUCAAAUUAAUCUAAUGAAAAUGUACUUAAUUUUAUUACUCUUUUGUUACAUCUUAAUUUUAUUAGAUAUAGAAGUGAAAGCUACUUACAAAAUACUAGUCAGAUCAACUCACACUAUCGACUCACUUAGAUUUUAUUACAUAUGAUAUAAAUAUUUGUAUUCGUUUUUAUUCCAUAUGUUUGUCAAAUAUUAAAAUCUGAUGAUAAAAGAAAAAUAUAAGAUGGUUUGGUUAUUUAGGUAUGUGAGAUUAAGUAGAUUAGGUGUUGCAUAUGGAGAAAUUUGUUUUUGAAGGUAUCCAUACUUCUACUAACAUGCCGUAACAUUUAAGGAUAUACAAAUAAUAACAUAAAUGCUAUCCCCACUAGUAUAAAUCCACAUAACAUAAAUCGAUCUUUUCCUUUACAAGGUUGCAUUAAUUUAUUGAUUCAAUUUGAUAACGAUAGAUUUCAUAGAGAAAUAUGGAUAUUUAAAAUUUUAAGUAACAUAAGAUGAAACUUUUGCAUCUAGCACUAUCCUGGUCAUAUGGAUAAUGAAUCUGGAUUGUUACUGGAAUAUCUUACCUAAACAAUCUUUUAAGGCUUCUUAACAAAUUAACAUCCCUAUCCAAAACCGCAACAAUAUUUCUAUAACUUUAUCUUUCCAUUUUGUCCAAAUCCAACUACAAGAAUGCAUGAAAUAUCCAUAGGUUCCAUCAUCUUAGUGAUCCAAUAUCGACGAGCCUCAAUUAUCACUAUACUUGUGAUUAGCCAUAGACUCUCAACCAACUCCAUUGUCCAUCCUCAAUCAUCAAGGGAACUUAAGAACAUCUAUCUUUGAUCAAAAAUUAUUUUAAAAGUUAUUAUCUCCAAUUACACAUAAAGCUAAUAAACACAUAUUGAAAAACAAUUCAACAUGUGUUAAAUGUAUGAAAUGUGUCAUGGUAGCUAACUUAAUACUUUUUGAAGUCUACUUGGAGAACCUUGGGAAGAAUGGAGAGUGAAUGAGGGACACGUAAUGAAGGUGUGUUGCUGAGGUAGUGACAUUCUUCAUCAUGCAUGGAAUUUGGAUUACUUCAUAAGUGCUGGUGGCUUCACAUUUCACAUUUCACAUAAUAAUGGUCCAGAAUUGUUUUAUAUGCUUCAUUCAUAUAUGGAAUUUGCCGCUACAUGAUAGUAUAAUGUAUCAUUUCCAAAAUAAAGUCCAAGUUCAUGAGAUUGAAAAUAAAUAAAAAUCAAUGAUUCAUGUAUGAGGAAGCAAUAAGUAUAUAUGCAUGAUUUCCCCGUCCAUGUAUAUCCAAAAAGAGUUGUGUAGAUAAAUGGCAUGCACAUGACACCUCAAAUUUGUCAAGAAGAACACUCAUCAACCUGCAUGGCACCAUUUAUUAAGAAAAUGAUCUAUAAAUAUGAGUGAUCUUAGUCCCAGUUUUCAUCAUUGAGUGUAAUCUAAUAUAAUCAAAUAUGGCUAGGAUGAGAGUGAGAUUUCCAACCUUAGUCUUGCUACUAGGAAUAUUAUUCCUCAUGGCAGUGUCAAUUGGUAUUGCUUACGGAGAAAAAGAUGUGAUAAAGAAUCAUGAGAGGCCUGGCGAAAGAGAACAUGAGGAGCGUGACCCAAGACAACAACCACGUCCGCGUAAACAAGAGGAGCAAGAAAGAGAGCAUAGGAGAGAAGAGGAGCAUGAUCGUGACCCUUCACGUGGUAGGAGGGAGAGCGAAGAACGCCAAGAAGAAGAGCGUGAACGAAGGAGAGAACCUUGUAGGGAGAGAGAGCAAGAACAACAACCUCAACAUGGAAGGAGAGAGGAGGAAGAAGAAGAGGAAGAGUGGCAACCUAGGAGACUACGACCUCAAAGUAGAAAGGAAGAGAGAGAGCAAGAACAAGGCUCUAGCUCAAGCUCACGUAAGCAAAGUGGUUAUGAGAGGAGACAAUAUCAUGAGAGGAGGGAGCAGAGGGAUGAGAAGGAGAAAGAGCAAGAUUCUCGCUCAGACUCACGCAGACAAAGGAAUCCUUAUCACUUUAGCUCUGA
RNAcentral lists this long non-coding RNA (56977 nucleotides) under Lupinus angustifolius (narrow-leaved blue lupine). RNAcentral's name for it is "long non-coding RNA (LANG_LNC000562)". Lineage: Eukaryota; Viridiplantae; Streptophyta; Magnoliopsida; Fabales; Fabaceae. The record is from RNAcentral.